This 47145-nucleotide long non-coding RNA is filed under the name Lathyrus oleraceus (garden pea). RNAcentral describes it as "Pisum sativum (pea) long non-coding RNA (PSAT_LNC030397)". Lineage: Eukaryota; Viridiplantae; Streptophyta; Magnoliopsida; Fabales; Fabaceae. The record is from RNAcentral.
AAAAAGAAUAAUUAACGGGCCUAAUGUUAAAAAUGGCCCAAAUACUUAAUCUAAAAUUAUUAUAAUAAAUAAUAAAUGAAUAAAUAAAGUGAGAAACAAAUUUAAAAAAAUUAACAGAAAAUAAGAUGAAAACAAAAUCUUUUCCCUGGAACCAUCAAUCGAACCGUGAAAGCAAAAAUCACUAUCCCUCUUUUCGUUUCACAAUAUGAACAACCAUAAACCUUAAACGAGAAUUGAACUUGGAUCGAGAAUGGUUCCAUUUAUCCACAUUCAAGUAUAAAGGGAAUUUUUGGCAUAGUAUUUAGAACAACUGCAAGAUAUUACAACUAAAGAAAGUGCCGAAAAUCUAAACCACAAACAUUCAUUUAAAACCAAAGUAUCAAUAGGCGCCCCCCUACAACUCCUUAAUGAACAAAGAUUAGAGUUUGUUUUAGAAAAAAAAAUUGACUUGCUGAAAUCCAAAGUAGAAAGAAUAACCAAGACAUAGGUCCUAUGCAAUUUUAACAGAGAUGCAGCAUGUUUGGAACUAUCUAACAAUAUAAUAAACUAAAUCAGUGAACACAGCUUGUUACCGAUUGAAAAAAAUUCUUUGCGGUGAUGGAGGUCGAUGUUGGGGUAGACCGAAGAGAAAACCAAAACGGAGAUGCGGGUUAUGUUGAAAGUUGUUUGAAGAGAAGUUCGUGAUGCCGAUAUGGUCACAACGAAGAUGUCUCCGGCGAUCUGAAAGAGGAUGCUUAUCUGAGCGGUUUCAGCGGUGGAAAGGUUGUUACCGGCGUGGGUGUUGGUGAAUGAAGGUCGACAGGUGACAAUGAGGUCGUUCGUGGUUGAUGACAGGAAGACCAGAUGAUGAACAGAGGCACGUGGACGAUGUCGGUGGGCGAUUUCGCAUGCGAAACGGAAGGAUGCGCGAACGUGAGUUUGUGUCUUUUAAGCCAACAUAUGGUGGUUGUUGUGCGAUGGAGAGUUAGGGGUUUGCCGAUGAUGUUUCGUGAGGUGUUUGGGUUUUCCGUGGGAGAUUUGGAAAGAGGAUGGCAUUCGUUGGAUCCGGCGGAAGGGACGACGUUUGAAGGCUUAGAUGGCGACGAAAGAAGUGAAGAAGGGUGGCGAGAAGAGGUUUGUUGAUUUGCGGCAUGUUUUGGAGGGUCGGAGGUUGCGGAGAUUUAAUGGUGGACGAUGCGAUUGAUGCGUGAAGAAGAAAGCGGGCGCGGUGUUGGUGAGUUUAUACGAUGGAGUGCGGUUGUGAAGGUGAUGAGUGAGGAGGUUGUGGAUUUGGAUCGGAAAAGGGAUGUGGAAAAUGCUGUCGAGAAGAAGAGGCUACCGUUUCUUUCUCUUUUGUCUUUUUCUUUUUUCUAAGAGAGAGUGAGUUUUUCCUUUUAGAAAUGUGAGGUGAUUGGCCUCUUUCAGAGUCAGUUGGAGUUACCAAUGUAUUUUUUCGGGAAUGGCAAUCUCUAGGUUCAUUUUCUAUUCCUAUUUUCCUACUGAGAGCCAGCGAGUGAGUGGAGAAUGAGGGGGUGAUAUUUUUCUUUUCCUUUUCGUUCUCUUUUCUAUUUUUUCGGUGUAAGAGGAUAUUAUCUAAGUGGGAUCUCAAUUGGUUUUGCCAACUGUCAAAAGAAAUCUUCCAAGAUUUUCAAUGCUAGCUGACUUUUUUUGCAAAAAAGGGAUCUAAUGCCAAGAUAUAUUUUAUUUGUCAACAAUUAUUAUUAUAUAUGGUUAAAGAAAAUGCCUAUUAAAAAAUUCCUAAACAAUAUUUCAAUUUGAAUAAGAAUAAUAAUAAAACAAUCUCUAAUUCGGAUACGUGAACAAAUAAAUAAAAUGUCGAAUUAUAUAUAGAAGUCGAAUAUAACUUUGCUCGGAAAAUUAAAUCGGAUACAUUAAAACGAUCAACACGAAAUAUACUUAUUGAAAAAAUACAGUGUUUCUUUUAAUUUCGAAAUAAAUUUUCACCAGUUAAAAGGCUCAGACGGGUCAAAAUGCAACUAAAAAAGUCGCUGAAAAAUAAAAUGCGUACACCGGGAUAAACUACAUGAACUGUAGAUUAAUAGUGCUAGCAUCUGCAAUUUAAUGUCGAAACUUUUUACCUGCUGAUUUUGCACGCCUUUGAGAAAUGAUUCAACCAAUUUGUCUGUAUUUUCAACAACUCAUUCCGGCUGAUAUUUUAGGUAUUCAUGAUGAAAUGCGUGUCAUGUUGUGCAUUUGAUGCAAAUUGAAAAUGAAAUCAAAUUUAUGAAAAUUUAUAAAAAAUGUAUGGACAAAAUUGGGGUAUGACAGUUGCCCCUAUUUAAUUAACUUGAACUCGAAGGUAAGAAUGACAACAGUCUUCAUACAUUCAUGGUGGAAGGUAAUUAAAUACGAAAGGACCCAAAUUUUGUCUUUUUGGAACGUAAUGGAGAAAUGCAAAAAGAAAAUGCAACAAAUUCUAACAACACCAAGGUAUUAGUGUUAGAACGUCAAAUUAAAUGCCAACCCUCGAGUCGAUACUCAACUCAUGCAAAGGUCUUUUUCGAUGUAAAGACAAAAACUGAACAGGUUUUCUGGCAUCAAAAGGAUGACAGUAGAAUUAAUUGCCAUCACCAAAAGGAUGAUAGUAAUUCACCAUGAUUUUUAGGAUUGUUAUCAUCAAAGGAUAAUGGUUACAGUAACAACAACAAAGAUUGCCCUCAUCAAAAGGAUGGUGGUAAGAUAAACAACACAAUUUGUUAUCGCCAAAAGAAUGAAAGUUAAACACAAUUUGUCCAUCACCAAAAGGAUGAUGGUUAUUCUUAUAAAGCUUUCCAUCACCAAAAGUAAUAUAACAAGACUACCACCAAAAGGAUGAUAGUUAUCCACUUCAAAGAUCAUCGUCACCAAAAGGAUGAAGGUAAGGUCCAACAGCAAAACUUGUCAUCACCAAAAGGAUGAUAACAAGUCCAUAACUUCAAUGGUCACUAUCACCAAAAGGAUGAAGGUAAGACCUGAUAACAAAACUCGUUAUCACCAAAAAGGUGAUAAUAAGUCAAUAACUCCGACAAUCACCGCCACCGAAAGGAUGAAGGUAAGAUUAAAACAAAACUUGUUAUCACCAAAAGGAUGAUAAUAAGUCGACAAUCACCAUCACCAAAAGGAUGAAGGUACUCUCAAACAACAGAACUCGCUAUCACCAAAAGGAUGAUAAUAAAUCUCAAUGACUAAAUGAUCACCAUCACCAAAAGGGUGAAGGUAAGAUCUAACCACAAAACUUGUUAUCACCAAAAGGAUGAUAACAAGUCGACAGUCACCAUCACCAAAAGGAUGAAGGUACUCUCAAACAACAAAACUCGUUAUCACCAAAAGGAUGAUAAUAAGUCAACAAACCCUAUGAUCCCCAUCACCAAAAGGAUGAAGGUAAGAUCAAAACAAAACUCGUUACCACCAAAAAGAUGAUAAUAAGUCGACAACUCAAAGGAUCACCAUCACCAAAAGGAUGAAGGUAUUAUCAAACAACGAAACUUGUUACCACCAAAAGGAUGAUAAUAAACACACAAAUCAAACGAUCACCAUCACUAAAAGGAUGAAGGUAAGACCAUAAAACAAAACAAGUUAUUACCAAAAGGUCGAUAAUAAGUUACAACAAAUCACCAUCACAAAAAGGAUGAAGGUACAAUUAAACAACAAAACUCGUUAUCUCCAAAAGGAUCAUAAUGAGUCAACAAUCACCAUCACCAAAAGGGUGAAGGUAAGAUCAAAACAAAUCCCGUUAUCACCAAAAGGAUGAUAAUCAGUCCACAAUCACCAUCACCAAAAGGAUGAAGGUGAGACCAUAACUUCAAAACUUGUUACCACCAAAAGGAUGAUACCAGGUUAUAAUAACUUCAAAUAUCACUGGCACCAAAAGGAUGACAGUAAGAUUAAACAACAAAACUUGAUUAUCCCUAAAAGGAUGAUAAUCAGGUUGAACUAGACAUCAUCACCAAAAGGAUGAUGAUUAGACAUAAUAACAGAGAUCACCAUCAACAAAAGGAUGAUAGUUGAACCCAAAAAGACAAGGAUCCCUAUUACCACAAGGAUCACCGACACCAAAAGGAUGACAGUACAAAUGUCAAGGAUUUACCAUUACCAAAAGGAUAACGAUUAUGUAAACAGGACGAUGAUCAUUAUUCAUCAAGGGACUUUCAUCAAAAGGAUGAUAUCAAGAGAAACCUGUGGGAAAAUCAGACUACCGACAACAGUUCAAAUGGAACGGACUUGUUGAGUAGUAUUGGUACAUUACUGUGUAAGACUUGCUUGGGGUAUCCACAACAAAAGGUUGCAGAAAAAUAUUCUCUGGAAAGAUUUAAUUUUCACUUUACCAAAGAUUUACAGGAAACAACUCAAUGAGGGACGCUCAACGCAAAUAAGGUAGGAGCUCACUCAUAGAAAGUGACAAUGACUCAACUGAGGAUUCCCUUGGACACCUACGACUAAACCUUGGAUCUUGAUUCGUGCUAUAUGCAUAAAUGGCAUGUAUGUGUUAUGCAUGAAUUGAUGUAUGCAGUGCAUGUUUGAAUGCAAAAGAUGAUUGGUUUUUUUGGGAUUGGUCUCCGUUUUUCAAGGGCGAAGCAUUUUCUGGAAACCAAUGCUGGUCGUAUUUGUUUUUGUGUGGGUGCUAGCAAGGUGGAAUUUUUUUUUUGUAAUUGUCAAUGUGGAUUGGACUUUUCGGCUGGCAGAAGGAUCUGACUUCCCGACACUCGGUAGUUGAUGAUGUGAUGAACACACAAUAGGUGUGGAUACUCUUGGUGUCCCAUGUUUGAUCUCUUGUUAUUACGUUGUGUCCUUGCCAAUAAGGCGAUCUCGAUUUAUUUUUCUGAUGCAUUUGAGUAUCCUAUAACUGAGCAUAGCGAUAUGAUCAACGCAUGAUGAUUAUGCUUUUGAUAUGACCUAAGGAAUCUUGCCACCACAUGAUAUUGUACUAGCGUGAACUUUCGAUGUUUUGAUUGUGAUCUCAAACAGUUUCCAGUGUCUAACACAGUCUUCUUGACCAACUUGAAGAUAUGAAGGGAAUUUUCCCCUUACCACUUGUCUUGCCCCUGAUUAGCCUUUGAGGGACUGGCCCUAGACAGGCUGAGUAUUGAAGUGUUUUUCCUCCCUGAUCCACCGAUGCUUGGAGAUUUGUCUUACACUGACUACUUCUUAAGUCAACAUAAUCAAAGGAUGACAUGCCCCUGAUUCGUAGGAUUACGAGGUGGUUUUGAUUUGUGUCAACACCAACGAUCAAGUAUCUCUCGAAUUGCCCCUGGUUGUAAUUUCCUAGAUGUCAAGUGCUGACUUGCAGUAAAGAAUUGUUCAUUCAGGAAAUGGUGAUUUUAAUGCAACAGUUAUGCAUGUUUUGAAAAACAAUCAUUCAUUUGGAGUGUCGUGGUAGUGUGUGACGAGUGGACCAUGAGUCUAAAUGCGAUGUUGAUUUUAGCUAGCGUGUGAGUGAUACAGUGAGAAUAGAAAAUUAGCAAAUCUCUAGGAGUCAGUUUACUCAACCUUACUGUAGUAUGCUAUCAGAAUAAGCCUUACUUCAAUUAGGUCUUUUAAGGGUUGUAACGUGGCUUCGUUCAUGGUUAUCGAAACAAAAGGAUAUAAGGCUCAAAGCUUAUUUUAACCCAUCCCUUAUUCAUGAUGAUCUCCAAUCCUAUGUUAAGUUGAUUCAACGCACACUUUACUUUUACAAGAGUUCAACAGUGUAAAUCUCUUUAAGUGACAGUCAUCUUAUUUUGCUCUUCAUGGAUGAUGGUGACUCUUAGAUUUGGGUAUGGCGUGAAGGAGAAUUGCGGUCCAAAACGCAGCGGAAAUUAAAAUUUUCUCCUUUAGAGAUCCUUACGAAUGGUCAUGAUCAGUGAUAGAGUAUUUACCUCUUGUGACGAUUGAAACCUUUGGUGCAGAUCUCUUGUGACGAUCAAAACCUUUUUGCAGAUCCACAGAGCGAUCACGAACGUUGAACGAUGACAACGUCUCUACUCAGUCCACACGAACGGACUCCUUCAAUCUCAGUGCUAGCUGGUACGAAUGAAGGCUUUGAGUGAGAGAGAGAGAGAGAAAACGAAAAUAAUGUAACCGCAAUGAAUGCUUCUGCACAAGGGUUCUAUUUAUAGAACCACUUGUGUGGGCUUUAAGCUAAAAGGCCCACUUAAGUGUAUUUUGGCCCAUAUCUUAUAAUAUGCCCAAAAUCACUUAAGCCCAUGGUACCUUACCAUAUUUCGUAUUCUACUCAAGUACACCGUACCUUACGAUGUUCUAUAAUUCACUUAAGGGCACCGUACCUUACGGUAUUCCUUAGUUACUCUAUCUCUCAUCAAUCCGUCCUUUGUGUGUGACCCUGUAGGUUUUCGUGACGUUGGCAAUUAUAUUAAAUCACGCAUUUAACAUAAUAAACAGUGAGCGGUAUCUAGCAACACAUCACUGCUACCCAAGACACGAAAAUGUCAUGUGAUCUGACAAUUCCUUCUGUGAUAAUACUUAUGUGUAUAAUUACCCUUUUGCCCUUAUGUCUAUAUUGAACACAAGGCAUAGACCGUGUCAUCCUUGUCCAGUUCAAUAUUGGGCCCAUAGACAUUUAUCCUGUUACGCAGGAUGGGAAAAUUCCAUCUAGGUCACUCAUGUCCCUCAGCAUGCUUCGUGGAGUACCCAUCAACUGUCUUUAUGGUUAUCCAGUUACGGACAACGUUGGAUCAGCAAUAAAGCACUCGACUCUACAUCUAGGAUCCAUAGUGGUUUCAGGUCGAAGAGUGGAAUACACUAUUAUCACCAUGAGAAUAACUUAUGACACUUUGCAUAACUUUCUAUAUAGUAUUCUCAUAGCGGGUCAAUCCGGUAUAAAUAUUACUCCUAAUAUUCAUACCUAUGUUUAAGACUUGAUAACUCUUUAUCCAUGAUCCAUGAGAUGUGAUCAUCAGUCUACAAACAUAAUAGUCUUAAUGCUUUAAUGUUAUCCCACUUCACACUAAAGCUCGACUACGGAUACUUUAAGAAUAGUGUCCUUAUGUUUAAUGUGUUCUCAUGAUUAAGUCACACUUAAUACAUUAAACGGACUAUCUAUUCCAGGGACUUUAUUAAUCAACCAUAAUAAAGAAAAUGCCUUUUAUUAUUAAUAAAUAAUUCGAUACAAGUACCAAAAGUAUUGGCCUCUAGGGCUUACACCAACAAUCUCCCACUAGCACUAGAGCUAAUCAGGCAUACCCUUAAUACCCAUAGAUCUAGUAUGGCCAUCAUGCUUCUUCUGCGCAAGAGGCUUUGUCAGUGAGUCAGCAAUAUUGUCAAGUGUAGGUACUCUGCAUAUUUUCACAUCUCCUCUAUCUAUUAUCUCUCGAAUGAGAUGACGCCUAAGUAUGUGUUUGGAUCGUUGGUGAGAUCUAGGCUCCUUAGCUUGUGCGAUAGCACCAUUGUUAUCACAGUAGAGACCAAUGGGAUCUACAAUGCUAGGAACUAUGCCAAGUUCACUAAUGAACUUUUUGAUCCAAACAGCUCCCUUUGUUGCACUUGAGGCAGCAAUAUACUCGGCCUCGGUUGUAGAAUCAGCAACUGUAUCUUGCUUUGAACUUUUCCAGCUCACAGCGCCACCAUUUAAGCAAAACAAAUAACCAGAUUGCGAUCUAAAGUCAUCCUUAUCUGUCUGGAAGCUAGCAUCGGUGUAUCCAAUUACAACCAACUCUUCCUCACCUCCAUAUAUCAAGAAUGAGUCCUUAGUCCUUCUUAAAUACUUAAGGAUAUUCUUGACAGUUACCCAGUGAGCAUCACCAGGAUCAGAUUGGUACCUACUCGUUGCACUUAAAGCAGAUGCAUAUGGAAUCUUAUUCAUGCGAUCCCUUUCUUCCUUAGUUAAAGGGGAUUGUGUUUUUGAUAGACACAGGCCAUGUUGCAUAGGUAUGAAUCCUUUCUUGGAAUCAUGCAUAUUAAAGUGUCUCAACACUUUGUCUAUGUAUGUACUCUGACUUAGGCCAAGCAGUUUUUGUGAUCUAUCUCUAUAGAUUCUGAUUCCUAAUAUAUAGGCUGCUUCACCUAGGUCCUUCAUAGAAAAGCAUUUCCCCAACCAAGACUUUACUUGUUGUAGGGUAGGGAUAUCGUUUCCAAUGAGUAAUAUGUCAUCUACAUAUAAUACCAGGAAAACGAUCAUGCUCCCACUAACCUUCUUGUAGACACAAGGCUCAUCUUCGUUCUUGAUGAAUCCAUAUUGUUUUACUGUUUCAUCAAAACGAAGAUUCCAGCUUCUGGAAGCUUGCUUCAAUCCAUAGAUUGAUCUUUGUAACUUACAUAUCUUUUGGGCUUCUUCUGGUAUGUCAAAUCCUUCAGGCUGUGUCAUGUACACAUCCUCAAGAAGAUUCCCAUUAAGGAAAGCAGUUUUGACAUCCAUCUGCCAUAUUUCAUAAUCAUGAUAUGCAGCGAUAGCAAGUAAAAUCCGAACAGAUUUAAGCAUUGCAACUGGUGAAAAGGUUUCAUCAUAGUCAACCCCAUGAAUUUGUUUAUAUCCUUUUGCAACCAGUCUUACCUUAUAGGUAUGUACCUUACCAUCCAUGUCAGUCUUCUUUUUGAAGACCCACUUGCAUCCUAUAGGGUUAACUCCUACAGGAGGCUCUACCAAGGUCCAAACUUGGUUUGUGUACAUGGAAUCCAUUUCAGAUUUCAUGGCUUCUAGCCACUUCUCAGACUCGGGACCAGUUAUGGCCUCUUGGUAGGUCACAGGCUCAUCUUGAUCCAUGAGUAAUACAUCACCUUGAUCUGUUAUGAGAUAUCCAUAUCUCUCAGGUAGGUGACGUAUCCUGCUUGACCUACGCUGGUCUUGUUCUACUUGAGCAGGUUGCUCUUCCACAACUACUUGUGUUUCCUGCUCUAAUUCCUCCAUAGGUGUAUCGAUGCUUUGUGAUUCUUGAAUUUCUUCAAGCUCUACUUUCCUCCCACUGGUUCCUUUGGAAAUAAAAUCCUUUUCUAGGAAAACUCCAGUUCGAGCGACAAACACUUUGCCCUCAGAAGGAUUGUAGAAGUAAUACCCUCUUGUUUCUUUAGGAUACCCCACAAAUAAGCAUUUGUCAGAUUUGGGCUCAAGCUUAGUUGAAAUUUGUCGUUUCACAUAAACUUCGCAACCCCAAAUCUUCAUGUAAGACAUAUGUGGUUUCUUACCACUCCAUAUCUCAUAUGGUGUCUUCUCAACCUUUUUGGAUGGAACACGGUUAAGUGUGUAAGCUGCUGUCAAUAGUGCAUGUCCCCAAAAGGAGUUUGGAAGAUCGGCGUGACUCAUCAUGGAUCGGACCAUGUCUAACAGGGUUCGAUUUCUUCUCUCAGAUACACCAUUCCAUUGGGGUGUUCCAGGAGGAGUAAGUUGGGAUAGGAUCCCACACUCUUUCAGAUGGUCAUCAAACUCUAGGCUUAAAUACUCACCACCUCGAUCUGAUCGAAGAGUUUUAAUAUUCUUACCUAGUUGGUUUUGUACUUCAUUCUUGAAUUCCUUGAACUUUUCAAAGGACUCUGAUUUGUGUUUCAUUAAAUACACAUAACCAUAUCUACUGAAAUCAUCAGUAAAUGUGAUGAAGUACUGAAAACCUCCUCUGGCUGGUAUGUUCAGUGGUCCACAUACAUCAGUAUGUAUGAGGGCCAAAAGAUCAUUAGCUCUUUCACCUUUUCUUGUGAAUGGAGAUUUUUGUCAUCUUCCAAGUACUUUGGGCAGUUUCUCUUCCAGUGUCCGGUCUUACCGCAAUGGAAGCAUGUGCCUGCCUUUGUUAUGCCUCCACUAGGCUUCAAAGCAGCAACAGUGGGUCUGGGUUUGGCAACUUCCUUGCCCUUCCCUUUAUCACCCUGCUUGGUGGGCCUUUUGUUCUGUCUCUUCCCAUUUCUGAUCAUCAGAAUGGACUUCCUUUUUGUCUUCAGAUUCUGCUAAGUAGUUCUUAACAUGUCUAGCAGUUCGUGAAGAGAUUUGUCCAUAUCAUUCAGAUUGAAAUUUAGGAAAAAUUGACUGAAUCCAUCUGGCAACGAUUGCAAGAUCAAAUCACUCGCAAGUUCCCUUACGAGGGGAAAACCCAAUCAUUAUGAGCACAUGGGGACCUACAGGGGCUCCUCAGCUAACUUGCCUUGAAAAAGGCCUUUUGAAACUUCAAACCUUUCAUGCCUUGCUUGCUCUUGAUAGAGCAUCUUCAGGUGUUUGAUCAUAUCGAACGCUGUCAUGUUCUCAUGUUGCUUUUGCAACUCUGAGUUCAUGACAUCCAGAAUGAGACAAGCAGUUUCAUUGACAUCAUCGACAUGCUUCUUAUAAGCAUCUCUUUCUGCCUUAGUGGCAGAACUAGGAGGUUCCUAUUCAGGAACAGGUGUCUCCAAGACAUACAGCUUUCUAUUAUUUUUUAGGACAAUCCUCAUGUUUCGGUGCCAAUCCAGAAAAUUUGUCCCAUACAAUUUUUCCUUGUCAAGGAUUGAUCGCAAAAUGUUGUUAGAGGUGUUUGUUGUCCUGGUAAUCUACAUAAGGAUUAAUGAAAAUAUAAGUAUCAUUGACAUAUUUAAUUAGGCCUUUAAUUAAAUAUGCUCCCACUAUUUUACUCAAAACAAAUGACCCUCAUCAUUUGAUUUGGAAAAUCUCGUUGGAAGAUUUUCUAGUGGGUCGAGAUCCAUAUUUCACUUUGUUCUAAGUCCACGUAGGCGGAUUACAUAAAACUAGGUUAUUUAGGUAUGAACUCCUUCCAAUUGUAUCUCAUACAACUCUAAAAAAUUUCAGUUGGGUGAAUAACUCCUUAUUCCAAUCCAUCAUAUGGAUCAUUCCCAACUCUUGCUUCUAAACAUAUAUAAUCUUAUUAUAAUUUAUUUUGUUAAGUUUGACCCAUUGUUUUAGCAAUUGGAUAUUACAAUUAUCCCAUCGCACCUUACUAAUAUAGAACAUGCACCUCGCGUAGGCGAAACCUACAUUAUCCGAUACUAGUCUUGAUGAGUGGUAAAACUUGGAAAGCAUAAACUUAAUAUUUAAUUUGAGGGAAUUGUAAUUGUUNUGCGGGCUAGGUGAAGCAGAUGAAAGGUGAGUGAAGAUUACGACUUCAACAGCUCUUAAUCCCUGCUCCAGGGAGAGCUUCAGCACAAAGGCAGCGUGGGCCAGAAUGGCAGGACCCUUCUACGCUCAAGACUCGUGACUCGAUUAGCUGCCAACAACACAAGAUCUUGGGUUUGUGAUCCCAUGCCAUCCAACACACAUCCGUGUGAGGCAGACGGGACGGAGCUCAACAGAAUAGUGAGGGAUAGAUUGCAUAUCCCUUUGAAUCCACCAAUUGCCUCUAUAAAGGUACUUUUCGCUUGUUGGCAGACAAAUGUUAAACAACCACAAAGCAAUCGCUUCAAGGAGGCGUUCAGACAGUUGCCUGGCCAAUAACAGGCCAAGUCUUCCACCGACAACUGAAGUAUAAGAGAUUCUACCCUCAACUGGUUAAAAAAACCAAAAAAGCAGCAGGAAGCACAGUUUCGUAGAACUGUAAGCAAACUAAAUGUACCUAAAUCAAUAAAGUAUUCAAUCAAUACUCAGACAAACCAACAAAUAACGCAAAGGUUAAUCUAUACAGACAACACAAGUUAAUUGCACAUACAUGCAAGCCAUGAGCUCAAAGCUCAAGCAGUCAAACCUACAACCCAACAUAACGCUUAGUGAGAACAAACAUCACAAACUCAAUUCAAAUUGCCGUGAAGCAAAUCUCCUUAAGGCAUUGUCGCAAUUUAUCCUUAAAAGUGAUAGGCAGUGAAUGAAUUUGGAAGCCUAUUGCGCCGCAAUUCUCAAACCGGUACCAUCAUGCAUGCAUAGGGGAAUAUGAUUGGAAAAGAUAGAUUAGCUCAAAGGGUCACUCCAAUGCUCGAGAAAUUGCAAUUUGCCAUUGAUGAACCAAUUGCAUGAACAGUUGCAAUCUUUGAUGCGUUAUUUAUGAUUCCUCAAACCAGUCCAAGCCACAUGAUCCUAUGGAAGAGGAAGCAAAAAGCAUUUCGUGAAAUGAUGAGAAUUGAUGACAGUUUCAAUGGAUAUUGGUUGAUGAAGGUUCUUGAUGAAUUUUGCAAUUUGGAGGGAAAAACAGUUAAUAAAUUUCUUGUGUGAUUUGUGCGAUUGUGAUCCAAAUUCAGGUUUAUGAUUAAGCUCUUAUUUACUUCAAUUAAUCACCUGUCUAAUCACCAAUUAGCAAAUGACAUGUAAUUAGCAUAAUGCAAUUUCUUAAGGACAAGGGCAAAAUUGGUAUUUCACCAUCAGGCUUCUUGUGACGCUGUUGACAGCUCAGACACCCUUCCAAAUUCAUAUUGUGAUGUGUUGGCCAUUGGUCCCACAAUCAAUUGGCAUUAGUAUUUCUCAUUUAUCCUAUUGUUAUGCCAAAUCUAUGCAAUUUCAAGUGACAGUUCCAAAUGACUAACCAAAUAUUGCCACCUUUGAGCACCUAUUGGUGACAAUAUCAAACCAUCUCCAAUUGGCAUAUGUGACACGGUCAUGUGGCAAAAACUCCCAUGCAAGAAUUCCAAUUAUUUCCUCAACUUGGGAACCAUUCUUGCCCUUGGUUUUUAAUUGUCACUUGAAAAAUACCUUUUCCAUUGACAUUUUUGAUGAAUUUUGAUUAUUGCACCAAUGAAAAGUACACUGUGAAAUGGGAGCUUUGCUCAUACAAAAGAUACACUCAUUUUUGACAUUCAUGUGAAAGUUAUGCACUUUGAUUAAUGGGUCAGUUCUUGAAAUUGAAUGGGACCAUAACUUGCCAACCAGUAACAUUUGGGAAGUUGUCAAGUUCUGGACUUUUUGAGAAAAGGUGAGAACCGAGAUCUACAACUUUCAUGUUAACAAAUUUUCAUUUGAGCUUCCUUGGACAUUGUAAUUUUGUGGUCAAAACUUUCCAUUAGUGAAAACUUUCCCAUUACAAGAUCACUUUCUUUUUGGCCAAUUUUGGCCACCCAUUUAUUUUCUUCAUUCUUGAGAGGCCUUAAUGACUUCUACCUCUACCUCCCGAAACUGCUGAUUAGCCGAUACGCUAUUACUGGAAGGAAAUCAAAGCAAUGUCAAAAACACAUUGUAUCCAACCAAUGAAUUAGAAGGGUAUCUAACUCAAUUCCAACGCUCCAAAGUCCUCAAAUCAAGCACAGUGACCACAGGUGACUUUUCCAACUGAUUAGAUGAAAUUUGGCAAUGCACUGAUCAAUCGGAGCCCCAAUUCCUCUAAAUGAACAUGGCUUCAAAGGAUGAACCCUGAGCCUCAAGAAUCUCAAUAGAAACCACAUGCAUGCUCCCCAUAUCCGACUGCAUAAGACCCUAUUCCUUGCUACUGUACCCUAUUGGCCCACAUGCAACUGAUGUUAGGGUUGACCCAGUUCGUCAAAAACCCUCAAUCUCAAGAAAAAAAAAAAAAAAAGACUAUGUCCACACUUGAUGAUGACAAACCGAUUAAAUGAUGAUGUAUCAUUUCAAACAAGAUGAAGACCAAUCCCUGGAGAAUCAAAAACCCUAAUUUGGACCGCCACAUCCUCAAAUGAUAAUGACCAGUCACAAUGAAACCCUAGUUGCACCAUGACCUCUAUUCAGCUCUCUUCAUCGAGGACUUGUGCAGGAUGACUUGCAACUGUUAACCACAUAUAUCGCAAUAUGCCAAUGCCUAAUGACCUAAAAAUGAUAUGUAUAUGUUAUGCUAGUCCCAAAGAGAGGCAGGGCCAAAUUUUCAGGCUGCUUACAUUAACCUAAUAACAAUCUAAAGCUUGCUCCAAGCAAGAUUGUCAGGCUUGUCCUCCUUUAGAGUGAAUUCUUCUCUUUCUUCAUAACAUGUCUUCUUUUCUUUCUUCAUAACAUUACAUUACAGAAGAAACUCGUUUUACAUACGAGGGAUUGAGAUGAGAAAAGAAGUUACAUUAAGAGAUUAAAAGGAGAGGCACGACACGCAGGUCGUAUUUUUAAAAAACCCAAAACAAAAUGAAGGAAGACUAAGGCCAUAACUGAUCACAACAAGGCAAUAAUAAGAAACACAUUAUUAUUAUUAAUUUUUAAUAUCUUUAAUUAAUUAAAACCAAAUUAAAUUUCGGCGACCGAUCAUACUACGCAGAGUUAGCCGGGGAUUCCGCUGCUCGGUCAGCGGACAGGGUUCAAGGGGGCAGCGCCCUUGUCCAAAAAUUUUAAUGAACAAUUGAUUUGAAAUGGACAUCGUUUUGCAUCAACACAACUCUUGCACAGUCACAAAACAGAAACCCCAAGAAUUCUGACUCUGUGAGUGUGACGACCGUCACAAGCAUGUUACGACCGUCACAAGCUUGUUACGACCGUCACAGGCCCAUGACGAGCGUCACGCGGCCAAAAACAGAAACGCCUAGAAUUCUGGAACGACCGUCACAAGCUUGUUACGACCGUCACAGGCCCAUGACGAGCGUCACGCGGCCAAAAACAGAAACGCCUAGAAUUCUGGAUUUGUGAGUGUGACGACCGUCACAAAGCACGUGACGACCGUCACCUCCAGCUUGUUACGAUCGUCACAAGCUCGUGACGAACGUCACGCGCCCAAAAUAACAGAACUUUGAAACAGUCAACAGACGUGUUCCACAAAGCCCUAAAUUCACAACUCCUUGACGGCACAACACUUGUGCCGUCCCUAACCCUAAUGCACCAAUUUCAGACUGUCAAACACACCUCGAUUAUUGAUUCAGUAUGAUCGAUCAACGGGUCAUUGCUUCACCAUACUAAUGUCAGAUUUCGAAGCAAAUGACCAUUGAUCGCUCAAAGGAAAACAACCACUUAGUGUUUGAAUGAAUGAAACAGAAACAGUAUAUCAUAUAUACCGUACUUUGCAUUAGGAUUACUUAUAUCAUAUAUAAGUUGAUCGGUCUCAUAACGCAUUGUAUACCUGCUAGCUACAUAGCGACGAAGUGGUAACUAAUGUCGGUUCCGAAGCAUAGUCAACAUCAAUCAUCCAACUCGUACACUCAUGAUGCCAAAUUUAAUUACCCGUCUAAUUAAUUGAUUCAUUUUGUCUUUUAAUCAUAUUAAUAUAGAAAAUAAACAGCUAUCCGAGUCAUGGUUUCGUAAGUGGCUCUGAUACCACUGAAGGAGAAUUGCGGUCCAAAACGAAGCGGAAAUUAAAAUGUUCUCCUUUAGAGAUCCUUACGAAUGGUCAUGAUCAGUGAUAGACUAUUUACCUCUUGUGACGAUUGAAACCUUUGGUGCAGAUCUCUUGUGACGAUCAAAACCUUUUUGCAGAUCCACAGAGCGAUCACGAACGUUGAACGAUGACAACGUCUCUACUCAGUCCACACGAAUGGAUUUCUUCAAUCUCAGUGCUAGCUGGUACGAAUAAAGGCUUUGAGUGAGAAAGAGAGAGAGAAAACGAAACUAAUGCAACCGCAAUGAAUGCUUCUGCACAAGUGUUUUAUUUAUAGAACCACUUGUAUGGGCUUUAAGCUAAAAGGCCCACUUAAGUGUAUUUUGGCCCAUAUCUUAUAAUAUGCCCAAAAUCACUUAAGCCCAUGGUACCUUACCAUAUUUCGUAUUCUACUCAAGUACACCGUACCUUACGAUGUUCCUAUAAUCACUUAGGGCACCGUCUCCUUACGGGUAUUCCUGUAGUUACUCCUAUCUCUAUCAUCGUCACUUUGUUGUGUGUGACCCUGUAGGUUUUCGUGACGUUGGAAAUUAUAUUAAAUCACGCAUUUAACAUAAUAAACAGUGAGCGGUAUCUAGCAACACAUCACUGCUACCCAAGACACGAAAAUUUCAUGUGAUCUGACAAUUCCUUCUGUGAUAAUACUUAUGUGUAUAAUUACCCUUUUGCCCUUAUGUCUAUAUUGAACACAAGGCAUAUACCGUGUCAUCCUUGUCUAGUUCAAUAUUGGGACCAUAGACAUUUAUCCUGUUAUGCAGGAUGGGCAAAUUCCAUCUAGGUCACCCAUGUCCCUCAGCAUGCUUCGUGGAGUACCCAUCAACUGUCUUUAUGGUUAUCCAGUUACGGAUAACGUUUGAUCAUCAAUAAAGCACUCGACUCUACAUCUAGGGUCCAUAGUGGUUUCAGGUCCAAGAGUGGUAUACACCAUUAUCACCAUGAGAAUAAAUUAUGACACUUUGCAUAACUUUCUAUAUAGUAUUCUCAUAGCGGGUCAAUCCGGUAUAAAUAUUACUCUUAAUAUUCAUACCUAUGUUAAGACUUGAUAACCCUAUCCAUGAUCCAUGAGAUAUGAUCAUCAGCUAAUAUACAUAAUAGUCUUAAUGCUUUAAUGUCAUCCCACUUCACAAUAAAGCUCGACUACGGAUACUUUAAGAAUAAUGUCCUUAUGUUUAAUGUGAUCUCAUGAUUAAGUCAUACUUGAUACAUUACACAGACUAGCUAUUCUAGGGACUUUAUUAAACAAACGUAAUAAAGAAAAAACCUUUUAUUAUUAAUAAAUAAUUUGAUACAAGUACCAAAAGUAUUGGCCUCUAGGGCUUACACCAACAUGGUGGCCACCUAUUUUUGUUUUAUUGAGGACUUUCAUUGUCACUCUCGAUUUUUGUUUUGAUCCCUAAUUUUUGCAUGGAGUUCCUUUUGAAGCUUUAAUCCAUCGGAAUUGCCCCAAUUUUUGCCUAAGUCUCCACUUUGAUUUUUUUGAAAACUUUGACUGCCAAGUCAUUGUUCAUUAAAGAACGACCAACAUAACUUUUGGAUUUUGUAUGGUUUCUUCGACACUUCAGGAUGUUUUGCGAAGAAUAUUAUGUGGUUGAUCCGUAUAUGGGACAUCUCAUCUUGUAAUUUGACCGCUUAGUCAGAUCGAAUGAACACUUCCCUUCCCCAGGUUAAGCGUAAGGGUUUGUAGAUCCGAAAGAAACUCCUACUUCUAGGCUCGAAGUGGUUGACUAGGGAUUGACUCCUUAUCUCUCCAGUUUUUGGGGAUUUGAAACAAUGCCUAUACAUCAUUAGCAGGAUUUUAUCCGAAAGCAUACAAUCAACAAUUAUGAGUAUUUUAUUUUCGUCAUCCCUAGUCAUAAAGAGGUGGUUCUAUAAGACCUGUUGACUAGGCCAACUCAGUUUAUGCCUUCGAGGAUACAUAGUGAUGGUUGAUCUGAUUUCGGUGGAUGCUUAGUUAUGUUUGAGGGGUUUCAUUAUUAUCUUGUUGAAAUCACUUGAGGUAGCCCUUGGGGCAACAUUGUAAUAAUUUUACUCUUUGUUUCAUCAUUAUGAAUAUAAAAGGGUUUAUUAUCUAUCAGUUAAUCUUGUGCCUUUAUUUCCUAUGCUUUAUGAUUGCCUGCAACAAAUAAAGACUCGAGCAUUCCUUGAGAAAUAAUAAUCAAAAAUAUUUUUACAUAAAAAUCCCAUUCAUUCAUUUGCACUUUUCUAUCCUAAAUACAAAAUGCUUACAUCCUUCUUCAUCCUCUUCAGAAAGACGACGACUCACCGGUACUUCACCAAAUCUAGAACAAAGAAUUAUGUUUGAUUUUGAAUAAGAAAACGCUGCAACAAGGGAGGCUCUGACUCUUCUCCAAGGACAUAUGGGUACCAUCCUAGAACAUCUACAAACUUAGAGGGGCAAUGUUGUUGUUGUCAAUCAGGAUGAUGCUACUAUGUUGACUUCUGCUGCUGACACAACUCUUGUCGUGAUGGAUGCUACUGAUCAUGUUGUUCAACCUGCUAUUGUUAGCCAGCCUUUAUCUCAAGCUGGUCCUAAUAGGUUUGUUGUUGCCUACCCGUGGGGAAUUCCUCACACCUACAAGCCUCAGUUUGCUAAUGGAAAUACGUUCAUGUCAUACCAGUCCUAUGAUGUCGCUCUUGCUAUUGUGAAUGAUGUUGUAUUCCAGUGGGGAAUGCCCAAUCCUUACUCUUCUCAAGGGGUUGAAACAGAAGAGACACCUGUUGCCGCUGAAGAUCAGUAACUUGCGCAUAUGGGUCCUCAUCUCAAUUUCCAUAUCUUUGCUCCGCUUGUUCAGCCAAAUCCUUAUGCUUAUACUGCUAUGGUUCAACCGUUUACUAAUAACAUUGCGCUCCAGUAUGCCCAUUCUGGGGCACAUCUUGUCAAGUGAGUUUCCGACUUUGACAAUUUCCUACUUCUCUUCCUAACCAUGUCAGUCUAUGUGCUUUGCUAAGACCCUUGUCAUAUGAGCCUCCCGCUUGGACAAGUUCCUUCUUCUCUUCCUUACCAUCUCAAUCCUUGUGCUUUAGUAAGACCCUUGUCAUGUGAAUCUCCAGCUUUGACAAGUUCCUGCUUCCUUCCUUACCAUGUUAGACCCAAUUCUUUGGCAAGACCCUUGUCAUGUGAGUCUCCGGAUUUGAGAAGUUCUUGCUAUCCUUCCAUACCAUGUUAGACUCAGUGCUUUAGUAAGACCCUUGUCAUGUGAGUCUCCGGUUUUGACAAGUUUCCUUUUCGUUGGUUUAAACACCAUUGCAAUUCCUUUUAUUUUGGGACACACCUUUAUGGUUAACCCCCAUCCUUUUCUGUUGGUUUAAACACCACCCUCGAUCUUAUCUUUUUCUCAAUCGUUAUUAUCCGAACUACGGAGCUCUGACUUUCUCAUUUCACUAUGAGAAUACAUAACCACGAUGAUGUGAAUCCUUUGUGAGCACUUUUAUUUCUUUUCCCUUUUUUUCUCCCUGGUUCUUCGAACUAUGAGGCUCUGACUUUCUCAUUGCACCAUGAGAAUACGCAGGCAUGACGACCUUAAUCCUCCUCGAGAACUUCUUUUUCUAACCCUUUUUUGUUUUGCAGGAACAUGAAUAUAACAACACCCAUCCAAGCAAGAGCAUUAGAGACGAUUCCCAUGGAGUACCAUGUAUGCGAGGGGUUCUAAUACCUUCCCCUUGCAUAACUGAUUCCCUUACUCGUUUCUCUGUGUUUUUUCCCCUUGGGUUUUUUCUAUGUUUUCCCUUCCCUCUUUUGGGAUAAAUAAAGUUUGGUGGCAACUUUGUUGUACCUUCGAGCGUGCAAUACGUUCGGUGGGGAUAUUUCAACUAGCUUCAGUCAUGGAUCAUUGAAACUUGACAUACAACCCAUUCAUCACUUUCACCAACAUUCAAACUCAUGUUCAAAGCUUUAGUUAUCCAACAAUUGCAUAAAAUCAUAUAUUCAUAAACAUAAUGAUUCACGCAUGAAUUCAGUUGCAACAAUCACAUAAUCAACAUAAUCAAUCAUCACAUUUUCAUAUUGUAACAUACCAACAACACAUAAAAACAUAAUUUUACACAAUCCUAAUGAGAGUAAGGAUACCUAUUCUUAAUCAUUUCAUGCUAUACACCCAUAUAAAAGCUCUUUAUCCCCCAUUACCUUGAUUCCUUGCAAAACUAUGAAUUGAUUAAGGUUUUUGAUUAUAGAUCUCCCUCCUUCAAUCCUUAGUCUUGUUCUUGCCUAAUCUCUCUAAGUUAUGUCUUCACAUACUGACAACUCUACGGUCUUUAAUCCUCUUUUUAUCUCUAAGAUUUAAUUUAAACUAUUGAUAAUUACACUAAAGCCCAACUAAAACAUAAACUCUCUCCACUACCCAUCAAAUUUUCCUUUAUGUCAAUUCAGCUCCAACUCCACUAAUUCUCAUUUUAUUUUAAUUAAUUAAUUAAUAUAACUAUACAUUCUAAUCAUUUAAUAUUAAAUUAACUAUUCUAAUCCUUCUAAUUAUUCUCCACCCUAUAAAUGCUCUCACCUUACCCCAUCAUACCCAUAUACAUACUGUAGCGGUAAAUUCAUGACCAUCAAGUUAUGGAUAAACUUGACGUCAAAAAACUAGAGUCGCAACCGUGUUUUAUUGUUUCCAAAGGAAAAGGGAAAAGUACGAACAAAAGCCAAAGAUAAGAAGUUUUUAAAUCAAAACUAAUAAAAUUCCAGAGAUUACAGGUAAGGGGGUUGGUUACACAGACGGAAGGUGUUAGCACCUAAAGUGUCAUAGGUACUCCUAGGGAGCCCUUGUUUAUGUGUGCAUGUGUUUUUGGUAUAAAAGAUGUUUGAACAAAAAUGGAUUGUGGGGGGUGAGAAAAUAAUUCAUUAAUUAUAUUUUAGUGUUUGACAAGACCUUGGAACUCGUGCCUACGUGCCAACAUAAAAAUGAGGGAUCAAUACCUCAUAGUUUAUGGUAAAAAAUUUAAAUGAGUUGGUGAAUUGAUUUUAACAAAAGUUAAUAAGAGAAGGCACAAAGGGGCUAAAAGUUUGAAUGGAGUUGUUAGUUCUUUUUGUCUUUUGAAAUUUCAAGUCAAUAUGAUUAAGUUUAGUCACAAAUUUGUUUUAAGAAAAUGUUUGAAAAUUCAAUGGCAUAAGGCCAAAGUUUCUAUUUAUUAAAACAAAGUCUCAGUUUGAAAUCACAAGCCAAGAAAGUUUUUGAAAAGGGGGAGAGAUUUUGAAAUUUAAGAAGUGGGAGGAGAUGAAGAGGCUAUCCUAAGCACAAAUUUAAAAGUUAAGAGUUGAAAAGAUCUGACCAAUGGGAUACAAUCCAAUAGACAAGAAUGUCAUAUGGAAACCCAUUUUUCUUUGGACUUUAAUCAAGCAAUGAUCAAUAAGCAAUGAUUAAUAUCCAAACAUCAUGAAGAUCAAGGCAUCAAAUAAAGAUAGCCACAUCCAAGUAAGAAACUCCAUUAGCUAGCAAUCUUCAUUGUCUUUUAAUGCAUCAGAUGAAAUAUUCCUUGAUCAACUCAGAACAGAGCAUUAGACACAAGAUCAAAAUAACAAUUAAGCACAAAGACAGAGUAGCAGAUGAACCCAAGAAAUUCCUAAGGCUUGUAUCAGAUAAAGGCACAAUCCAAAACAGCCUAGUCUCAAGAUGUUGCCUAAUCCUAAGUCCAAAAGUUCAGAACAAGUUCAACAGUCCACAAGAUGUUUUUUGGGUUUUUGUUGUUAUUAGGUACUUUAAGGUCCUAAGACCACAAACAAAACCAAAACACAUAAACAAAUAUAUAGAAUCACAAGAUAUGGCUCAAAUUGUUGGUGAUUUUAGUAUCAUCAUCGUAAUUUUAGUAGUAAUGUGAUUUACUAUAGGCCGAUGCAAUUAUGCAUUAAAGCUUGGAAACGAGUUAGGGGUAGUGCGGAGUGCAUGCUCCUCGAGUCAACGUAUAAUUGAAUGCGAAUAAUUGAAACGGGGUUCCAACGUUCGAAUUUUUUUUUGAAUUUCGAAUCCUUUCCCAACCGACGUAACCGUUUCUGAACAGUUGCGUCUUUUCGGUUUCUGUUAUUGAUCUCCUAUAUAAGGAGUCAUUUGGCCUCAGUUUGAACAAGACACAACGAAACCAAACUUUCUCUCUACAUUCCUGAAUAUUUCUCUUUGCCAAAAACAAAUUGUUCUUCAAGAAUUAUCCCCACAAAGAUUUCGUGAACCCAGGCAAGAAUAGGGUCGAAAUACUUUGUUCAGAAAGUGUACGAACACGAUUCUUCGAAGUUAUCCAGGAAUAUCAUACCCAAUUUUCUAACAAACGAACAAAGUAAUUUCUGAUAAUCAUGGCUGGAGGAAGCACCGUCAAGGAGAUGACUACAAACUUCGGAAAAUUGGACAAGUUUCAAGGACAAGAAUUCAGGCGUUGGGAAAAGAAGAUGCAUUUCAUGUUGACAACGUUGAAGGUGGUGCACGUCCUGUCUACACCGAUUCCAGAACUUCUGGAGGAAGACACGGUUGAAAAUAUGAGACGUAGAUCAAAAUGGGAAAACGACGACUACAUAUGCAGAGGGCACAUUCUUAACGGUAUGUCUGAUCCCUUAUUUGAUAUUUAUCAAAACAUAGAUAGACGUUUCCUUAACACCCUAACAGAGCUUAGGUUCAUGUACCGUGAGGACUCAUCCAGUAAAAAGUUCCUGGUAACCAAUUUCAACAAUUACAAAAUGGUUGAAUCGAGGUCUGUCAUGGAACAAUUCAAUGAACUCCUCCGAAUCCUUGGAUAGUUCACACAACACGGAUUGAAGAUGGAUGAAACAAUAUCUGUCUCAAGCAUCAUAGACAAGUUGCCUCCUUCGUGGAAGGACUUCAAACACAAUCUGAAGCAUGGAAAAGACGAACUGUCUUUGAUCCAACUUGGAAGUCACUUACGCAUAGAAGAAUCUCUAAGAGCGCAGGAGGAUGACAAAGGAAAAGGCAAAGAAAUUGUUGGACCCUUGGUUAAUAUGGUCGAAGAGGGUGGUAAGAACGGUAACAACAAAAACAAAGGAAAGAAGCGUGCUUUCAAGAACAAUAAGGGCAGUUUCGGUACUAACAAGAAACCGAAACUAGAAUGCUGGAAGUGUAGCCAAACAGGCCACUUCAAGAAGCAUUGUCGUUCCGGAAAAAAGCAUGAUAACGCGAAUGCAAGUGGUUCAGGAAAGGGGCCUAAGGACCAAUCCGAAAACCAAGGUCAGAAAUCAAUUCGUGAUUGAAUAGUUUGAUUAAACAUUCGGUUUCACUAAAUUCUGAAGCAUUCUAUGUGCAGGAUGAUGCUAUCUCGCGUGUGGAUUGAUUCUGGCGGCUACAACACAUGUUUGCAAGGAUCGUUUCUGGUUUCAAACCUUGUGUCUCAGUGGAAGAUGGGUUCUCUCCUCUACAUGGAGAUGAUCACUUCGCUCCCGUUGAAGGCAAAGGAAACGUGGUGCUAGAAUUCAGUUCUGGAAAGACUAUUACUUUGUUUAAUAUUUUGUAUGUUCCUAAACUACGUAAGAAUUUAAUUUCUGGUCCUGUAUUAAAUAAGCUUGGAUACAAGCAAGUGUGUGAAUCCGAUAAAUAUGUUUUAUCGAAGUCUGGUGUGUGUUAGAUACCCAAAAGUGCUUAUUUGAGCUAUCAAAUAUGGGUAUCUUUCACUCCAUCUCCUUGCUAAAUUGUCGAAACCACCUUUGUUUCAGAUGAAAUGCAAUACAAUGAUAAUCUAUCUUGAUACCUUUGAUUUGUGUGUUAUUGUGCAGGAAGUAGGCAUGAAAUAAUAGAAAAUGAAGACACAAGAAAUGAGGCAAAGGGAUCAAAUAAAACAAGCAUUCAUCAGCUUCCUCGCUAGGCGAGGGCUGUGGCGAAGGACUCGCUAGGCGAGCGUCCAGCGAAAAGCUCCAGUAUUUAACAGAGGCAAACAUCACCACACUCGCUAGGCGAGCUUCCAGCGAGGAGUGUGGCGANGGAGUCACUUGACGCAUAGAAAGAAUCUCUAAGCGCAGGAGGAUGACAAAGGAAAAGGCCAAAGAAAUUGCUGGACCCUUUAUAUGUCGAACGGGUGGUAGAACGUAAUACAACAAGAAACAAAGGAAAGAGCAGUGCUUUCAAGACAAUAAGGCAGUUCGGUACUAACAAGGAACCGGAAACUAGAAUGGCUGAGUUGUGACCAAACAGCCAACUUCAAGAGGCAUUGUCGUUCCGGCAAAAAGCAUGACUAACGCGAAUGCAUAGUGGUUCAGAAAGGGCGGCGAAGGCCAUCCGAAACCAAGGGUCAGAAAUCAGUCGUGAUUGGAAUAGUUUGGAUUAACAUCAGUUUACUAAAUUCUGAAGCUUUCUAUGUGCAGGAUGAUGCUUAUCUCGGGUGGAUUGAUUCUGGCAGCGUCAACAAUGUUUGCCAAGGAUCGUGUUCUGGGUUCAAGACUCCUUGUUCCAGUGAGAUCGUUUUGUCCCCUCUACAUGGGGAGAUGAGAUCACUUCGCUCCCUUGUGAAGGCCAAAGGAAACGUGGUGCUAGAAUUCAGGUAUGGAAAGAGCUAUUCCUUUGCUUUUAUAUUUUGUAUGUUCCUAAACUACGUUGAAUUUAUUCUGCUGGGUCCUGUAUUAAAUAAGCUUGAUACAAGCAGUGUGUUGAAUCCGAUAAUAUGUUUUUACGAAGUCUUGUGUGUUUGAAGGAGUUGGAUAUUAUAAUAUGGUAUGGUUAGAUGAAUGGGAAUGGAGUUACUAAUGAGAUUCUGCGUUUCUGUAUUUAUCUGUCCUCUUGCGAAAAUGUUAUCAAUUUCAUUCGUUAUGCAAUCUCGUCUAGGACACGUACAUUAUUAAAAGACAUGCAUGAAAUGUCUAAAGAUGAUUUAAUCCUGUUUUUGAUAAAAAUGUAGAAAAUUGUAAAAAUUGCAUGUUAACAAAGAUCACUAGGCAACCUUUAACAAGAUAACAAGGAAAUCUGUCAUUCUUGAGUUGAUACAUUGAUUUAUGUGAUUUGCAUGCUACUCCAUCAUUAGGACAUAAAAAUAUUUUGUCACUUCAUAGAUGAUGCAUCUAGAUUCUGCUAUGUUUAUUUGCUUGCAAGCUUAAGGACGAAUCUUAGAUAAAUUCAAUUUAUAAAAACUGAAGGUGAGUGCACAGAAAUGUAUUGGAUUAAAACAUUACGGACAGAUAGAGGUGUGAAUAUUAUGAUCCUGUAUUUUCCAAUCCGUAGGAAUCAUUCAUGAGACUACGACACCUUAUCACCAACACACAAAAUUGGUGUGGCAUGAAAGGAAAAAAUAGGAGUGCUUAAGGAAUGGUGAAGCUUUGUUAUCUUACUCCUGGAGAGUGAAUGGGGUUUGGAGAGCUUUGUUAACGGCUUGCUGAUUUGUUAAAUAGGGUUUCCUAAUAAAAGGAACAAGGACUACCCCAUAUGAACUUUGUAUAAGAAACGACCAAACUUUAACAUUUCUACGUGUUGUAGGGCGUGGUUAGACUCCCGAACCCAAAAGAAGUGUGAAAAGGGUGUAGUUUUGCAUCUGUUGUUGGAUAUGCUAGGCACUCCAACCUAUAGUUUAUGUAUAUACCAACUAACUCGAUCUCUAUUAACACGUAUAAAUCGAGAGAUGCCAUUUGAUAGAUGUUUCUCGUUAUAUCUAGACAAAGACUCUAUACCUAAUUCAGAUGAAUCUCUAAGGAGAAUCAUUCAAAUGAUGUGCCAAGUGAGCCACUUGAACCCCGUAGGAGCAAAAGAGCUAGAAAAAUCUAGAAUCUUAAGGAUUUGAUUUUUCAACUUAUAUUUAGUUGAGGAUCAAAGGAUCAGAUUGACACUCAAUACUAUUAUUGCUAUAGUAUAGAGGGGAUCCAAGAACGUAUGAUGAAGCUGUGAAAAUCUCUGAGAUUUUCUUGCUUUUGGAAGAAGCAAUUGACGAAGAGAUUGGUUCUAUCAUGGGAAAUAAUACUUGGGUAUUAUCUGAUUUACCACCAGGUUGCAAACAUUGGGUUGCAAAUGAUCUUCAAAAAGAAGAUGAAAGUCGAUGGUAAAAUUGACAAGUUUAAGCUAGAUUAGUUAUCCAAGGGCUUCAGACAAAAAGGAAGGGAUUAAUUAUUUCGAUACCUAUGCUCCUGUUGCCCCGUAUCACUACUAUUAGAUGUUGAUUGCCUUGGCGGCUAUUCAUAAUCAGUGAUUCAUCAAAUGGAUGUCAAACAACAUCUGAAUUGUGAUUUGGAGGGAAAGUGUAUAUGAAGCAACUGAAGGAUUGAUGCCUCGUAAUGAGCAUAAAGUGUGUAAGCUAGUUAAGUCUUGUAUGCUGAAACAAGCUCCGAAGCAAGCGUGACUUUGAUAAACAAAGGUCUUAACUAGCUACAUUUGAUGCUAUGGUAAGCUAGUUAUUGUUCUAUCAGGCUUGUUAAACCUCCAAGAUGCACACAAAAUGAGAAUUGAUACAAUCGUUAUAUAGAAAAUUGAUACUUCCGGUUAAAGGAGUUUUCAUUUGCUUAUAUUGUUGAUGACAUGUUGAUCUUCGGCACCGACCAAAAUCAAGUUGGAUAAAACAAAGAUUUCUUGUCAUCAAAGUUCUCCAUGAAGGAUAUGGGAGAGCGAACGUUAUUCUUGGUAUUAAGAUUAAACGGCGAGAAUAAGGGGAUUGUAAUUACGCAAUCUCAUUACAUUGAAAAAUACUCAAGAAGUUCAAUUAUGAAAGUUAAUUCUCCAGUAAGUACUUCCCAUGGAUCGUGAGAAAAGCUUUAUGCCAAAAUACAGGUAAACCUGUGGAUCAACUCGAAUAUUCAAAAGCUAUAGGCUUCUUUGAGUUGCUAUGAUUAGCACUUAGACCGGAUAUUUCUUAUGUGGUUGGAAAGUUGAGCAAAUUACUAGUAAUCCUAGUAGACAUCAUUGGCAUGCGAUUAACUAGGGUAUUCAAGUACUUGAAGGGUACAAUGAAUUAUGGAUUGUCAUAUAUGGGAUUUCCUUCGGUGUUUAGAGGUUAUGGAUGCUAGUUGGAUAAAUAAUGUUGGAAGAUUUCAUCCUCUACAAGUGGCAUGGGUGUUGCUUGGGGGAGGGUGCCAUCUCAUGGGCUUCCAAGAGCAAACAUGUAUAACUGGUUCCACCAAUGGAAUCUGAGUUUUGUAGCAUUAGCUGCUGCUGGUAAGAAGCGGAAUGGCUAAGGAAUUUGGUUAUAUCAGAUUCCGAUAUGGCCUAAACCGAUAUCACCAAUUUCUAUCGUUGUGAUAGUACUACCACAUUGGCUAAAGCUUAUAGUCAAAUAUACAAUGGAAAGUCUAGACAUUUGUGGUGUUAGACAUAGUAUGAUUAGGGAAUUAAUCAUGAAUGGGGUGAUAUCUAUUUGAGUUUGUUCGGUCGCAACAAAAACAUAGCUUACCACUUGACGAAGGGGUUAGCUAGAGACUUAGUGAAGAAGUCGGUAAUUGGGAUGGAUUAAAGUCCAUUUAAAUCUAUUAGCUAUGGUAUACCCAAUUCCCUUCUAUAUACAAAAUUAGAAGAAGAAUUCAAUAUUGGAAAGAUCAUAGUUAGAGAUUGGGCAAUGUGUUUUAUCUUCCCAAGGUAUGUUCUCAGACCUGCAAGUGAUGGCUAGGUUGAAUUAUAUCUUCUUAAUGGUUCUUUUGGAAAUUGCAAAUGCAGGUGCAAGAUUAAAAGAAUCACCUAUGUGAGCAUGAAGUUUUGCCGCUUCAGAAGCUUGGACUUGGCUUCCUAUAUGCUUAUUAAUGGAUAAGGACACAUGGCUUGUUAAAGUGUCAAGUAUGAAUAGUAGAGUAUCUGUAAGAAACAUAUGUGUACUAUAUCUUCAGACACUCAAAUGGAUUGACGGGUUCAAUCGCUAUGACACCCCGAUUUUUGAUUAUUUUGAAUGUGUAUUUGUACUAAGAUGGAAAAUUCAAUCGCAAGACAUUUUCAUUUACGCAUUUUGUUUGAUCGUUAUACUUGUGUGUUAUACCCUUGUAUAUAUUAUUUGUAUAUACUGAGUAAAUCAAGGAUUACACUAAAUGGGGGGGGGGAUUUGUUGGUGAUUUUAGUAUCAUCAAUGUAAUUUUAGUAGUAAUGUGAUUUACUAGUAGGCCGAUGCAAUUAUGCGUUUAAAGCUUGAAACGAGUUAGGGGUAGUGCCGAUGCACGCUGUCGAGUCAACGUAUAAUUGAAUGCGAAUAAUUGAAACGGGGUUCCAACGGUUCGAAAUUUUCUUUGAAUUCGAAUCCUUUCCCAACCGACGUAAACCGUUUCUGAACAGUUUGCGUUUUUCGGUUUUCUGUUAUUGAUCUCCUAUAUAAGGAGUCAUUUUGGCCUCAGUUUGAACAAGACAUAACGAACCAAACUUUCCCCUCUAACAUUUCCUUGAACAUUUCUCUUUGCCAGAAACAAAUUGUUCUUCAAGAAUUAUCCCCACAAAGAUUUCGUGAACCCAAGCAAGAAUAGGGUCGAAAUACUUUGUUCGGAAAGUGUACGAACACGAUUCUUCGAAGUUAUCCAGGAAUAUCAUACCCAAUUUUCUAACACAAAUGAGCAAUGUGAAAAGGAUAUAAACAUAACCAAGUUAUAUGAAAUGUAAAUGGCAAUCAAGGAUAAAUGACUGAAAUUUAAAUUGCUUAAUAGAAAACGACUUGAAAGUAAAGCAAUAUUAACAAGAGUUAGUCAAAUGUUAGUCAAGUGUUAAUGGUGAUUUUUAAUUGAUUAAGUCAUUCUUUGGAGAACCCUCAACCAUUCACUCACAAGUAUGAAUCCUUAAACCAAGCCAUCUUCCAUGAGAAGGGCUCCAACUUGGAUAUUUAACAAGUAUGUUAGUAGCUCCCAUGAAAGAAAAAAGGUCAAGUUCUCCACACAAUGCCAUGAAGAAUGGGAGACUUACAAUCUAACUUACUAUAAUGCUAUGCCUUGAGGGUCAAAUUUAUCUCUAGGUUAAGCAAUCAUAAUUGGACUUAUGUAAAAGUCACAACUAUCUGAGGCCGGGUAAUAAAAAUAUAGGUGUUAAUGCAUGUUAGAGAUUUGGUAUGAAGAACUAAACUCCUAAAACAUACCACACACAAAAAUAAAAAUCAAAAGGGAGUGACUUAUCUCAGUCAUACUUCUAUUGAUUCAUUUGACACAAGGUCAUUGAUGAAUCAAUUAGCCUUUAUACAUUAGAGAUUUCAUUGGUCAAAUAAGGAAAUGGGAAAGAAUAGGGAUGAAGAUGAAGAGGGAGAGGGAGAUAGAAACCCAAAUUGAUCAUGGGAGGGCUUUCAUCGAAUCAAAACCAUCAAUUCAUUUUGGGAGAUGAAAUGUACAUUUCAUCAAUCCCCUAAAUCCAAUGGUUUUGAUCCAACAAAAUUCAAAUCAACCUUGACCAAGGCCCAAACAGAAAGUCAAACAUCACAAGACCAUAAAAGUGGCUCAACAAUAUUUUAAAAUAUUUAAUCAAUUAAAAAUCAAUUUAAAAAUGAAUAAAAAUACAUUUUAAUUUGGUCAAAACACCAAAUAAAUGGCCAAGGGAUUUAUCCUAAGUCAAACAAGGUCAAAGGACCUUAGACAAAUUUUUUCACUAUUUUUAAAAAGUCAGAAGUAUUUUUAAACAAUUAAAAAUAUGCACAAAGACAUUUAAUUCAUGAAAAAUAUCAAAAUUAAUCCAAAAAAUCAUUUUAAUUUAGAAUAUGGAAGAGAAAAAUAUUUAAAGAUUUUUGGUGAAAGUCCCAUAUUUUUUGGAUUAAAAAUGAAAUUAAUAUGAAUGAAACAAAAAAAAAGGAUUAAAUGAAAAAUCAAAAAAUAAAUAGAAAUUCAAAAAAACAAGGCCCAUCAGAUAUCCCCCAUUAAUUGAGGUGGCAGAUAUGAUGGCCACAUGCGUGCUAUCCACGAUACACCUUAGUCAAAGCAUCACACGCGUGGUAAUCAAAAUGGAAGGCUGAGAUUAAAACGUUGGAACCAUAUCAAAUGGCUUGGACCUUUCCAAUGCACCACCGAAGCCCUAGCUCCGGUCAUCUUCUCAUGUAGACCUCACCAAACUGGUCCACCCUCAACCAAAUGAAAAAUGAAAAGUGAGUACAUGUUUUUGAAGGAAAAAUGCACAGGAGCACGAAUCUGACCUCCAUUUCUUCCAAUUCCAAGUAUAUAGAAAGAUACAUGGAUUUUAAAUUUGAGGUUCAUGAUCUGAGUUGCUUCGAUAUAACCUUAAAGCAACUCAAUCUUGUUGCCUACAUUAGUAGGACUACAACCAACCAAAAAUCAAAGAGAAUAGUGUAUAAAUGAGAGAGAAUCGAAGGCUCCAAGUUUUUGAAAAAUCACCUUCGGGUAGCUUCAAAUUGGCUUGAUCUCGAUCUAAAUUUUCUUGAUACUUCCUUCUCUUGCUUGUAGUGAUCAAUUAAGAUGAAAAAGGCUUUGAAUCCUUGGAGUUUGAACUUCCAAAUAGAAGGUGAAAUUGAAACUCGAUUUCAAAAAUAUCUUCAAGGAAUUAUAUGGUGUGAGGUUCUGAGUUCUCUUGGCAAAGCUUGGGCAAGGUGUGUGUGUGUCAUUUCUGAGGCAAUAAGCUUGUUUAAAUAGGCAAUGAUAUUCCUUUUUCACCCUUUGAAAAUUUUCCAAAAUUAGCAAGUUUUUGCAUGGAUUCAUGGGCAAUGAUUUGGGCCCAAUUCGUGAUACUAUUACAUUCCAAUUCGUGCACAAUUGACCCUGCAGCAAUAACAUGUAAGCAUGCAAAAGGAAAUGGAUAAUUGAAUUCAAAUUUUGCCAAAACAAACCUAUGAAGUGAACCAUGCGCAAGUCCGUCAAUAUUGGUCCAAAUUAGGUGAUAAUGGACUUUUUAGAAAGGUGACAUCAAGGGGAACAACUUCCAUGUUGAACACUUUUGCAUUUGAAGCUUGGAUCAUGAUGACUUUUGAGGUGGAAGUUUGGGAAUUCAAACAUAAUUGAAAAUUUUCCAAGUACCAAGUCAAAUGUUCACUUCUUCCACCUUGAGUAAGUACCAAGUCAAAUUUUUCUAAGUACCAAGUCAAAUUUUUUUAAGUACCAAGUCAAAUGUUUCUAAGUACCAAGUCGAAUGGAAAAUGUUCCCUCAUCAAAGUUGUAUCUCUUUCAAACCUCUUCAGUUUGGUCACAAAUUUGAGCUCAUUUGGAUUUGGCAUGAAGGAGUUAUGCAUUUUAAAAGUUGAGGAAAAUUGCUUGUUCAAUGGUAAUGACCCAAAAUGACCUAUAAUGUUUCCUCUUAGCACAUGCCUUUGCAAGUUGAAUUUGACAUUUCUAAAAGAAUAAAAGUUGGAAAGGACAUCUUGAAAUUUAUCAUGGAACUUAGAUGGCCUUCAUCUCAUAAAUAUUGAGAAAGUUAUGGUUCUUGGAAGUUGACCUCCUAACUCGGGCACAAACAAAAUGACCUAUAAUAUUUCACCAUAAAAAAUGGCUUUCCAAGAAAACCUAGCUCUUGAUGUUUACAUUAAAGUUGUUUGAAAUGUCCUAAGAAGUAACUUUUCUUUUGGAAUCAUUUUCAUAUGACAAAAAUUGUAGGAGAUAGGGUUUAGUGAACCCCAGUUUUGACCAGUUGACUUUCUCUGGUCAACCACCUUGAACCAACUUCUGAACUUGAAGUUCUCUUGAUCUUUUGGACUCAUGGAGGAUCGUAUAUGCAUAAGAUGAUGUAUAACUUGAUAUAUUUGAUCAAAUGUUGAAGAAACUUGUUGAGGAAGUCACACCAAAUACCCAAGUGGAUUAGGGUUUCCAAGGUAAACAAGCUUCUAACGCUUGAUGAAUUCUUGAUCAAAAUGAUAAAUGAAGAUCAUGUGGACCCAUAUAUGAUGUCUAGAACCAAUGUGAACCAUCUCUCGAUUGAUCUCCUUGCAUUGAGGGUCUCAAACCCUAGUUGUGAGCUUGAUGAGGCAUUGGUGGAUCCACACACUACCUACAAAAGAAACAAAACUAUACAUAGACAUAUUUUUGGUAUUUUGGUUAGUAAAUAAUGAAAAAAAAAGUAUGAUACAUUCAAAUGUGCUUGGUGAUCUCUCCCAAUGCGAACCCAAGGAAUGAGGGGUAAGGAGGAUGCCAACGUGUGAUCCCAAAGCCAAUUCAAAUGAAGAGAUAGCAUGAGGGAUCUCAGGGUCAAAAUUGGGGCCUUACAGUUGACCCUAUUUAAGGACAUUCUAACUGAGGAUGUGAAGGCUAAAAUCUUCGUAUCAACUCAGUAGAAUGGACUUAAAUAACAACAUCUAGAAACAAAUUUUGAUCCCUAAGAGACCUCAUGAUGCAUAUGAUAUGAAUGUUAAAACAAUCUUUGUGGGGAAUAUAUUUCCACAAAGGAGAAGAAUCCGGAGAGACUGAAAGUCCACAGGAGCAAACUGCAUUUCGUAAGGAAAACUCCCUAGGGAGAUAAAGACUCUAGGGGGACAAUAAGCUAUGAGUAGGCCAAGCUACGACUUAAAACCGCUGGGGAUACGAGUGGGAUUUCCAUGAAAAUAAAUCGAUAGAAGGACUCGGUCUAGGGAACCAGGAAAAUCUGCAGGGGAAACGGGUAGAUCACAACAAAGCCGAAAUACUCGAAUCAAACAGGAAAAUGUGAUUCCACUAAGGAAAUAAGCACUCAAACUCAAUUGGGGAAGAAUGGACUUCAACACAGGAGUACAAGAGAUAUAUUAUCUAUUAAAAACUACUGGGUGGGAAGAUAAUACACUCUGACAGAGGGACAUCCGUUACCGGUUAGGGUAAACAUAUCAAAGAUGACUCGUUGAGGAGAAAGAGGUGUAUUCGUUACCUGUUACUGGGUAAGAAUAACCUACUGGGGAGAGAACUCAAAUAGGAUUUACAACUACCGGUUACUAGGAAGAAGACCAAAGAGAGAGAAAUGGGAAUUAAGGAUAAACACAAAGGAAGAAUAUCAAGGAUUUACCUACUGGGAGUGAAUAUAUCAAGGAUAAACUCAAUGGAAGAAUAUUCGUCAUCGGUUAGGAUGAACAUAUCAAGGAUAAACUGCCGGGGAGAAAUGGGAAUUCUAUCAAUCAGUUACUGCAUAGAAUACCAAAGAGAGAAUAUUCGUCACCGCAGAGGAUGAACAUAUCAAGGAUAAACUCAGCAAGGGAAAGUAGGAAUUACAACUACCGAUUACUAGGUAGAAUACCGAAAAAAGGGAGAGAAUAUCUGUCACCGGUUAAAGUGAACAUAUCAAGGAUAGACCCUAUGGGGAAUAAAAUAGGGAUUACAGCUACCUUUUUACUGGGUAGAAAACCAAAAAGGGAGAACAUCUGUCACCGAUUAAGGUGAACAUAUCAAUGAUAGACUACUCGGGGAGACGUGAAAACGAAUCCGCUGGGGAAAACAAAGGAAGCAGAUUACAUAUUAUCGGGUAUUGGGCAAAAGUAAUGUACUAAAAAAUCUAGAAGAAUAUUAUCAUUUACUGGGUAAUAAACUCUCAGGGGACCAAAAUAUCUAUAUAGGUAAAAACUAGAAAGAAACGAUCAAACAAAAACUCAACCCAAAGAGGGUCUAACUCAAGGGGAGUGGUUCCAUCCAGGUAAUUAACUAGUGGGGAAACUGAAAUAAUAAUCAUCCACGAGGAAAUAAAUCAGUGGGGAAUGAGAAAGGUUAAACUCUUUCUGCUUAAGGGGAUGGCACUCUAUAGUUGAAGGAGGACAGACACAUUAAAUAUGCCCGGGUAAAGAAUAUUACCGAAGUAGGGGAUCCGAAGAAAAAACAAAUGCGAUAAAAUUAAUAAUGAAAUAUUUGAUGAUGUGUUUUACGCAUGAAUAUGCAUGUAUGACCAUGAUUAUGCUGACAAAACAACACAAAGGAUACAAAUAACAAAGAUUUGAAUCACUGUUGCAACACUCGACUAAUCUCAACAAGAUGGAAACACCAACUGGAGAAAAUGAUAGGGAUGAAAAUAAAUCAUCUAGCUCUGAAUAAGUUAGUUCUGGCUGGGAAAGUCAUGGAGAACAUGAUUCCACUCAAUCGCGAAAAACUCUAUGGGGAGGGUACUGCUGAAGGAUUAUCAACCAAACAUGCUGAGGAUAGAAAAAAGGAUCUGAUGAAGAUCCAAAUUGUCAACACUAUGGGGAAUUUUAAGUCAACACCAUAUCAGAAUGGGAGGCAACCUUGCAUGGGACAAAAAAAUCAAACACUGCUCAGAAUCCCAUACUGCCGGGAACGAGGGAUCUUCAUAUUAGAAGAUAAACUCCUCCAGGGAAUGCAAGAGGUAAAACUCUGCAUGAGGACUUAAGAAAAUUGUGGGGGAUGCUAUGACCAAGACCAUCACAUCCUCAAUACUAAUUAAAUUCUUCUUGGCAAUUGUGAAAUAAACUAAUUCCAAGGCAAAGAUAAUUGGAUCUGAUUCACACAAAGGAGAAACUGUCGAAGUUAUGCAACACAGUCAAAUGCAAAAUGGAAACCAAAUAAAGGUUCCGAGUUUCCAGGGUCCAAUCAAAAAUCAAAAACUAGGAGGAUACAAAACAUGAGCACCUUAGCUGGGGAAUAUGAAUUUGCAAAGGGGACCAAUCAUCAGCUUAAUUGGAAAUGAGAACCACCGUCUCUACUGAGGAUGAGAAAUCACUCAUCGAUCAUGCUGGGGAUAAAUGACGAUAUGUUGGGGAGGAAAAUAGUUACCAAACCAAUUGCUUAAGGAAUACCAACAAUGCUUCAUACUUUAAGACUUAGCUGCUCUUAGACUGUUGUUGACAUUCCUUACUGAAAUCGAUUAUUCUUAAAGUGAUUGUUUUUAUUAUUUUUACGAAAAAUAAAUAUUCAUUAAUUUAUUUCAAAAUUAUCAUAAAAAUAGAAUCAAUUAGAUAAUAGCUUAACCUUAUUUAAUAGAAUGGUAGUCCGUAAAUGACGAAACUCCAUAGAUCUUUACAAAGUUUGAAAAUGGUAAUUUAUAUGGAAAAGGGAUACAUUGAAUACAAUGAUCACUACUCUCCCUACCAACUUCAACAUCCAUUGUGCUUGUCUUCAGUUGAGAAUGAUGAAUCAGAACCAAAUGACUUGCUCAAAAUUGCUUCCAUGAUUAGGACCAACCGAAUGCGGUUACUUGCCAUAAUCCCUAAUUUUGCCUAGAUUGCCUCAAGGUGGGGUACUCAAUCUACCGGGAUAAAUUUUCUAUUUUAUGUUUCUAACUUUUGUCUGGAUCUCCCUUUCGGGUUUUCAAUCAAUCGAGACGCUCAUUUUUUCCUAAGCCGCCCUUUCAGGUUUUCAACAUAGCGAGUUUUUCUUUUCCUUUUUUAGACGAAGUAUUUUUUGACUACACCGACAUUCACAAGACACGUGAACUCUUCACCAUCCAUAGUUGUAGUAAUCAAAUCACCGCCUGAAAAGGCUCUCUUCACAACAUAUGGACCUUAAUAAUUAGGAGUCCAUUUUCCCCUGGCAUCAGGUUUGAAAGAUAAAAUCUUCUUGAGCACGAGGUCACCUUCUCUAAAACACACAAGCAUGACCUUCUUCUCAAAAGAUUUCUUCAUUCUUUGUUGAUAUAACUGACCAUGACACACGGUAGUCAAUCUUUUCUCUUCAAUCAAAUUCAACUAAUCGUACCUAGUCUGACACCAUUCAGCUUCUGUCAACUUGACUUCCAUCAAAACACGCAAUGACGGGAUCCUAACCUCCAAGGGGAGCGCAUCUUCCAUGCCAUAAACAAGAGAGAAAGGGGUUGCCCCUGUUGAAGUGUGAAUGGAUGUACGGUUCUCAUGCAAAGCAUAUGGGAGCAUCUCAUGCCAAUCUUUGUACGUUAGAACCAUCUUCUGGAUAAUCUUCUUGAUAUUCUUGUUCGCAGCAUCAACAACCUCAUUCAUCUUGGGUCGGUAGGGAUAAGAAUUAUGAUGUGCAAUCCCGAAGUCUUUGAAAAGAGUUUCCACUAUAUUGUUAUUCAAGUUUGAUCCAUUAUCAGUAAUGAUCUUACUUGGCACACCAUGCAAACAUAUAAUAUGAUUCGUUCUAAACUUUACAACAACUUACUUGGUCACAUUCACAUGCGAUGCCGCUUCAACCCAUCUUGUGAAGUAAUCAAUAGCCACAAGAAUGAAACGAUGUUUGUUCGAAGUUUUGGGCUCUAUCAAGCCAAUCAUAUCAAUUCCCCAUAUGGAGAAAGGCCAUGGAGAGGAAAUGACAUUCAAUAGUGUCGGAGGAACAAGAAUCUUAUCCGCAUGAAUUUAACGCUUGUGACAUUUCUUCAUAAACUUGCAACAGUCAGAUUCCAUUGUCAGCCAAUAGUAACCUGCUCUCAACAUUUUCUUUACCAUAGCAUGUCCAUUGGAAUGAGUACCAAAGGAACCUUCAUGGACUUCAGUCAGCAAUAAGUUUGCUUCGUGCCUAUCCAUGCAUCUGAGCAAAACUAUAUCGAAAUUUCUCUUAUAAAGCACAUCAUCAUUCAGGGAGAAGUUGCCAACUGAUCUUCCCAAAGUCUUUUUAUUUUUCAAAGAUGUUCCAGACGGGUAAAUCUGACUUUGGAGGAAACAUUUGAUAUCAAAAUACCAAGGCUUUUCAUCUUUUACUUCUUCAAUAGCGAACACAUGAGCUGGCCUAUCAACACGCAUCACGGUCAAAUUGGGAACUUCAUUCCAAAAUUUUCCCACAAUCAUGGAACCCAACAUUUCAAGAGCAUUUGCCAUCCGAUUUUCAUCUCAAGGGGUAUGAUGAACUCAACCUUUGUAAAGAAAGUUGAAAUCCUACUCGCAUAGUCUCUAUAUCGUAUCAAAUCGGGUUGAUUCUUCUCCCAUUCACCAUUGAUCUUAUUCACAACCAAAGCUGAAUCUCCAUAGACGUAAAGAUAUUUAAUGCUAAGAUCAAUCUCCUCUUCAAGCCCUAUAAUGAAAGCUUCAUACUCAGCCAUAUUGUUUGUACAUUCGAAGGUCAACCAAGUUGUAAAUGGAAAAUGGGUGCCUUGAGGAGUAAUAAUCACUGCCCCAAGGUCAUUACCAUAAGAAUAGACAACUCCAUUAAAUACCAUGUCCCAACGGGAACCAGGUUCUGGCCCUUCUUCAAGAAAUGGUUCAUCACAAUCUUUCAUCUUCAAGUACAAAAUCUCUUCGUCAGGAAAAUCAUACUGCACUGACUGGUAAUCUUCAAUCGGUUGGUGAGCUAAAUGGUCUGCAAAGACACUACCCUUAAUUGCUUUCUGAGAUCGGUAUUCAAUAUCAUACUCAGAUAACAACAUUUUCCAAUGGGAAAUUCUCUCAGUUAAAGUAGGUUUCUCAAUGAUGUACUUUAUUGGAUCCAUUUUGGAUAUCAACCAAGUAGUAUGAUUCAACAUAUAUUGGCGCAAAUGCUUAGCAGCCCAAGCCAAUGCUCAACACGUCUUCUCAAAGAUAGAAUAACGAGUCUCACAGUCGGUGAAUUUCUUACUGAGGUAGUAAAUUGCAUACUCUUUCUUUCCAGAUUCAUAUUGCCGACCAAGAACACAACCCAUACUCUCUUCAAGCAUAGUCAAAUACAUGAUCAAAGGUAUUCCUUCAACAUGUGGAGACAGAAUCGAAGGUUCAAGCAGAUACUCCUUGAUACUAUCAAAAGCUUUCUAUCAAUCUUCGGUCCAAUCACAAGACUUAUCUUUUUGAAGAAGCUUGAACAUAGGUGCACAUGUGGCAGUCAUAUGCGAUAUAAAUUCUGAGAUAUAGUUCAAGUGCCUGAGAAAACCUCUGACUUGCUUCUCAGUAUUGGGCACAUGCAUUUCUUGAAUUUCUUUGACCUUGGCAUGAUCAACUUCAAUACCAUUCUCGCUAAUAAUGAAGCCCAAUAACUUACUAGAACGAACACCAAGAGUACACUUAUUGGGAUUCAAGUUGAGUUUAUAUUUCCUCAAACGCUGGAAUAACUUCAACAAAUGCUCAACAUGUUCUUCUUCAUCACUUGAUUUGGCAAUCAUAUUAUCAACAUAAACUUCAAUCUCUUUAUGCAUCAUAUCAUGAAAAAGAGUGGUCAUAGCUCUCUGGUAUGUUGAACCAGCAUUCUUUAAACCAAAAGGCAUCACUCUAUAACAUAAUGUUCCUCUGGGUGUAAUGAAUGUGGUCUUCUCCAUAUCUUCAGGUGCCAUUUUGAUUUGAUUAUAACCGGAAAAUGCAUCCAUAAACGAAAAGACUUUGAAUUUAGAUGUAUUAUCUACCAACAUGUCAAUGUGUUGCAUAGGAAAAUCAUCUUUCGAACUAGCUUGGUUUAAAUCUCUAUAAUCAACACACAUGCAAACUUUUCCAUCUUUCUUCGGAACACGCACUAUAUUGGCCACCCACUGCGGAUACUCAGAGAUUAUAAGAAAACCAACAUCAAUCUGCUUAUGCACUUCCUCUUUGAUCUUUACUGCCAUAUCAGAAUGAGUUCUUCUCAACUUCUACUUAACUGGCGAGCAUUCAGGCUUCAACGGCAGUCUAUGCUCCACAAUCUCAGAAUCCAACUCAAGCAUGUCUUGAUAGGACCAAGCAAACACAUCCGAAUGAUCUCGAAGAAGAUUAAUCAACCCCUUAUUUGCUUUUGGACACAAUUGAGACCCAAUCUUGACUUCCUUCACAUCAUCCUCGGAACCCAAGUUGACUAAUUCAAUCUUCUCUUCAAACCACUGAAUGGCUUUUUCCUUGUGCUCAAGCAACCAAGAUAAUUCAUCUGAUACUUCUUUGUCAUCAGUCUCUUUCUCAUCUUCAAACACAGGGAAAUCAAAGUUUAGAGAGGGAGUAGGAUCAUUUUAUUCAAUGGGUUUGAGAACAAACCAGCAUAAUGAUUUGAUAUUUUGAUUUUAGAGAAGUGGAGUGCGAUCAAAUAUUAUUCAGAUGGAAGAUUAUUAUUUAUUUGUUUUAAUUUGUGAUUACCAUUUUCAGUAAAAGCAAAAAGUGAAAAUAAAAGAUCAUAGAUGUGGAUGAAUAAAAUUGUAUUUUAUUGAUGAUAAUAAUAAAAAUUCCCAACAAUGUUCACUUCUCCCUUAGGCAUAGGAAAAGGAUUUUUCUUAAAACAAUAAAAAACAAAUUACUUUAAACGGUGAAUGACAACGGGAACAUCAACAACAACCCAAUUGUGGCAAGUUUGGCCAAGCAUCACGAAGUUGGCACAAGCUUCAUCUUCAUCACCACUUUUUUCAAUAAUGGCAGCCGAGUAUUGAUCAUUCUCAUGAACGAACCCUCCAAUGGGAAUAUUGGUUGCAUAACUUUGACUUUGGCGUUGAACGGCCCUAGUUGAAAUCCUAGCCCGACUUUGUUCUUGUUCUUGGUGACCUCCACAACACGACCCCAUUUGUCACUACUGCCAGCUUGAAUAGCCUUUUACGCAUCGUUUAAAGAAGACAUGGGUUCCCUAAUUUUCUUUAACUCAUCAACAAUAGAUAAGGCUUGGAACGGAGUUCCAACCUCCUCCUCAACAUCAACAUACAUGAAAUAUGACAAAUGGCUUACUAACAAUGCUUUCUCUCCACCAACAACGACAAGCUUGUCGUUCUUCACAAAUUUCAUCUUCUGGUGUACAGUAGAUGUUACUGCUCCAUCUUUCUGAAUCCAUGGCCUUUCCAACAAGCAGUUGUAGUCCGGGUGGAUAUCCAUUACCUGGAAAUUAAUUUGGAAAUCACUCACACCUAUCUUCACUUGAAGGUCCACUUCACCAAUGACAGUUUUACAAGAACCGUCAAACGCUUUGACAGUUAUGCCGCUAUACCUCAUUGGGGCGACUUGAUAAGAGAGUCUGGACAAAGUUGAUUUUGGCAACACGUUUAACAAUGAUCAUGUAUCAACCAACACAUUGGACAAAGUGUCCUCCUUGCAAUUCAUAGAAAUAUGCAGCACCAAAUUAUGAUUCCUGCCUUCCUCAGGAAGCCCUUUAUCACAAUAACUCAAAUUGUUACAAGAAGUAAUGUUGGCAACUAUAUGGUCAAACUGAUCCACGGUAGCAUCAUGCUCAACAUAAGCCUGUUCCAACACUUUCUGCAACGCUUCUCUAUGCGCUUCAGAAUGCAUCAGUAGUGACAUCACGGAGAUCUUUGACAGAGUCUGGAGCAGUUUCUAUACAACAUUGAAUUCACUUCUCUUAAUUAGCCUUAGCACCUCAUCAUUAUCGUUAGUCUUCAACUUGUUGGAUUCAUCAGACUGACAUAUUGGAGCACUAACCAGAUUCACUACUGGAGUCUCUGUCUUCUUACUUACUGAAACAUCUUCUACCAUCUUCGGAAAUACUGGACUGAACAUACGACCGCUAUGGGUCACCUUUGCAAUAUCUACAAUGUGUACCACUGUAUCCGCAACUGUAAGAGGAACCUCUUGACAAUUCUCAAUCAUUGUGGCAUUGUAUUGGCAUGGCAUAACUUUAUUGGAGGAGUAGAGGACAGGGCCCGCUACCCAUAUGACCAACGAGGAUACCGAUCUAUUGAUAUUAUUGUUGUUACAGCUAUCAAACUGAAUGACUACCCGCUCACGAGUCUUGAACACUAGCACAAUGACAUUCACAUCAUCUCUCAUAUCCCUUGAAAGUUGAAUAUGGAUUACAUUCUCAUCCAUCAACUUAUGGAUAUCUCUCUUCACAAUCAUACACCCACGGGGUUUCACACUGCAAAUGACAUAACCAUCAUGGUCAUAUUCAUAGUCACUGAUAAAACACAGAUUUCUAUGCAUCUCCGCCAUAGAUCUUAGGAUAUGUUUCACAUCAAAAACACUAAAAUUCUGUGGACAGUCAUCCACCAGUUUAACAGAAGCGUUACCAUGAGCGGGUAACAGAUUGGCUUUUACGUUCGGUGAUCUAUCCUCAAAGGACACCAUACCACUCUUUACCAGCUUAUGAACUUCAUAUUUUAGAGGAUAGCAAUUCUCUAUAUCAUGGCCAGGGGAUCCCUUGUGAAAAGCACAAUGAAGAUCAGGCUUGAACCACCAUGGUAGUGGCUCAUGAGUUCGCGGAGGAUUCCUUGGCUGGAUGAGAUUCUUGAGAAGCAAUGAUGGGUAUAACUCUGCAUAAGUCAUAGGAAUAGGGUCAAAGGAGACCUUUUUCCUCUCAAAAUUUUGUUGGUGAAUAUUGUUGUUGUUGUUGUUGGUUCUUUGUUGCGGUUGUUGAUGAUGUUGUUACUGAACUGGAACUAAUUGAUUGUUGGGAUUGUUUGAAAAAACUGGAAUUACUAAAGAAACUUGGUGCUGAUGUUGACGGGGUUGAGAAAUCUUUCUCACAUGAGGCCUCUUUUACCUCCCCACUGAUACUGAAUUAGUUUCUCUUUCCUUCCUCUUGGAAAAAAUCCCACUAUACUUCUUGCUGGCUGAUGCUUCUUCUUUAAACAAAUGUCCUUCACGAACUCCUUCUUCUAGCCUCAUCCCCAUGUUUACCAUGUCGAUAAAAUCAUUGGGGGGAACUCGUAAUCAUACGUUCGUAAUACAACGAACUCAGCGUCUUGAAGAAGAUCUUCGUCAUUUAUUUCUCUUCAAUAGGUGGACUUAUCUAAGCAACCAAUUCUCUCAAUCUCUGGGCAUAUUCUUUAAAUGUCUCUUUAUCCUUCUGGGACAUAGACCUCAAUUUAUCUUUAUCAGGCACCAUAUCCACGUUGUACUUAUACUGCUUGACAAAGGCCUCACCUAAGUCAUUGAAAGUAGACCCAUGUACCACCUCAAGGCAACUCCAGUCAAACUGACUUGGAAAUAGUGAUUCAACAACUGAUCAUUAUCAGUCUGAGUAGACAUCUUUCUGGCGUACAAAACAAGAUUGCUCAGCGGGCAAGUAUUCCUUUUGUACUUUUCAAAGUUUGGGACCUUAAAUUUCACCGGGAUCUUAACAUUGGGGACCAAGAAGAGUUCAACAACACUCAUCUCAAACAAAUCUUUCCCUAUCAGAGUCUUUAACUCUUUGCGUAGCUCGAGGAAUUGAUCUUUCAUCUCAUCCAUCUUCUCAUACACAUAUGGACCCUCAGACGGCUCAGAGUGGUAGAUAGUAUCCUCAACACGAGGAAGAGUGUGAACAACCGGAGGUGGCACUGACAUGACUGGGCUAGAUGCCAGUAGAGAAACAAAUGUGGGCGCAUACCCUUCUGGCAUAAAAUUUGGUGGCAUUCCCCAAGGGAAUUCAGUAGGCAUAGAAGGAAUGGAUUGGCUUGUAGCAACAACAUGAAUAGUUGAGGUAGCAACCUCAAAAAUGUCAGUCCUCUAAGGAGGAGGAGUUGCAGGAGUUAGUGAUGACUGAUUUUGGGAAGUAAUCACAGAUUCCAUCGACACCGUUAAUCUGGAGAUCUCGUCCUUCAGCUCUCUGUUCUCUUUCUCUAGAUGCUCCAUUCUCUUUGGUCGAUUAACGCGAGUAUUAUAACAGUGAGUCAGCUUGGCUGAUGCACAGAAGAAGAACUGAUAAGACAUUUGGCGACAGAAACCUGUUAUACAAAAGAUGCAUGAUAUGCAAUGUUUUUUAUUAUUUUAAAUUUUCAAGGAACAUAUCAAGUCAUAUUUGCCAAUAUAUAUAUAUAUAUAAUUAAUAUAUAUAUUCAAAUAAUAAUAAUACAAAUUUGAUUGACCACAAAAUCUCUUUUUAUAUAAUAAAAUUUUGAAGGAUUACACUGAGUACAAUUUCAAAAACCAAAGUACAAAUACAAGAGAAAAGUAAACUAUCAUCCAAAGGAUCCCUAGUAGUUGCAUCAGAUGAUCUGGCUAUGGGUGAAUAUGUUCUUCGGAUGCGUCAAAUCUCCGACUCAAAGGAUGUCUUCAUAUGACCCUUCUCAAGAACUAGCUGAUCAACAAUCUUCUUCCAAGCACGGGAAGGCUGAGGUAUGCUAGAGGAAGAUAGACCCUCUGGCUCUCUCUGUCUCUUUACUACACGAUCUUCAAGAUUCUCAAUAAACGCAUCCUUUUCAUUCGACUCAAGCUUUAACUCUUCAUGCUUUCGGCUUAAAACAUGGAACCCCUCUUCCCACAUAUCAUUCUCUUGCUUCAUCUUUGUGAGUGCGUCUUUCAACUCCUCUACAUCUUGGUCAGGGAGAGUUGAUGGCUCAACCAUAACCAAAGACAUAGGUCUUUCACAGGCGUACGACAUAUUUAGCUCCAUAGCUCUCUUCUUCAGCCAAAUAUUGUAAGCUUCCAAAGCUACACAAUUGCACGUACCAAGCUCGGAUCUUCCUUUCCUAUGCACGUUAUGCCAAGCAUGUAUCAUUCUUUUCUUCAAAUUUUGCGGAUCUUUACCCUCUUGAUAGAAUAGACCUUCUAACUUAGUGUUAUUAGGUUUAUCUCUCAAGGGGAACCCAAGUUGAUGACUCGCCAAAGAAGGGUUAUAGUUGAUACCUCCUUGUGUACCAAUGAGAGGCACAUUAGAGAACUCACCAAAACUAUGAAUAAUAUCCAAGCUACUCAAUGCAGAAUCAUACCAAACAAUAUCAUCAUUAGUGAGAGACAUAAGUCUCUGAGACCACCGUAGACAUUGCUUGUUCUCCAAAAAAGCAGGCGUCUGAGGCAAGUGUGAAAUAAACCACUUGUACAGAAGAGGAACACAACACACAAUAGUCCCACCACCUUUAGAAUUCCUUAAAUGCAAAGAGAAUACAUGUCACCCAACAUAUUCAAAACAGGAUUCCCAAUCAAGAAGAUUCUAUUGAAGUUAACAUCAACAAAAUUGUCAAUGUUAAGGAACAAACCUAGACCAUAGAUGAGCAAUACAAACACGGCUUCAAAAGCAUCCAUACUACCGACUUGAGCAAAGACAAUGGCUUUACCAAUGAGGAACUCAGAAGUUAACCCAAGAAUACCCAAGAGAUCUGCGAAUCUCCUCCAAUCAACUAAAAUGUACCUUGUAGAUACGGGUAUAAUCCAAAAGAUGGGCAGACUCUUCCAAUGCAGGCACAAGCUGAUAAUCAGGAAAAGUGAAACACCGGUAGGGAGGAUCAUAGAACUGAAUCAAAACAUCAGAAGUCCUUCAACUACAUCAGCAAAUAAUACAGACAAAAGCUUCCCAUCACGUUACUUGAAGUCAAAGGGAUCUAAUACAAAGGAUGACAACUUCCUUAGCUCUUUCAAAUCAGGACAUUUAGAACUGUACUUCUUAGUGUUCUUUCGUCCAUAAUCCAUGGUCUAAAACUAUUUGCAAACAAGGCCUCGGUUUCCUUGAAAUUUUCUUUUCUGUGAUGAAUGUUCUGAUGUGCAUGUAUACAUGAAUGCAACAACCACAAACAAGGGAUCACACAUAAGGAAAACAUAAACAAAGGUCAAGGGAUGGAUCAAGUCAUCAUCAAGAUCAAUCAUCCAUUUUGGUGGAUUAUGGUUUUCACCUUAUCAACACCCAAGUUCCAUUGAUAUUGACAAGACUUGAUCGGAUCAACCGAGAAUCAAAGGGUUUUUUGUGGGUCACGAGCAUGAAGUCAGGUUAAGAACCAUCCCAAAGGAGUGUACUAAUGAUAAAAACCUGUAGAUCAUGUUCUAAAAAGUUCCCAAAGUCUUAAUCCCAUCUAUCGGAUAUUAAAGGUUAGGAUGUGUAAGACCCUAAUUUUGUCCCUAAGAUCCCUCAUGGCAUCAUAACAUUGCAUUGACAUUGCCUCAAGGAUCACUAGCAUCUUGGUUCCCUUUACCCUUGGGGUGGGACUUCUUGAGAGUGGUUUGAGAUCACCAAGCAUGCUUGAAUUGUAUAUCAUUGCUUUUCUUAUUUUGUUCACUAACCAAAAGCACAAAAAUAUGUCACUAACAUCUUUUGUUUGUAGCUUGAGCCAUCAGAAGAUCCAAAGCUUCAAGGAGAUCACUUAUGCAAUGGUAAGGUCAAGAGGAGAUGAUAGCAAGCAUGGUAAUGGUUCCCAAAGAUCUCAUCCAUCAAGUAUGCCUCCCUAGCAUCUCAAUUCACCAUUUUGAUCAAAGAAAGUCAAAGGAUUUGAGGUUGGUUCCCCAAAGAAACCCUAAUUCAUCUAGGCACCACAAUGCCUUGCUCCUGAAGCAACCUCAGCCCAUGAUCAAAUACAAUCAAGGGAAGUUAUUUAAUUCAUCAUUUCAUGCAUGUUUGAACUUAUUUGAGUGUCCUCAAUCAUCAAUUCAUCAAGAUAUGUGUCAUGGACUUGAGAAGUUGAUCAGUCAAUUCAUCUGACUAUUUUGAAAUGCACUGAGACCUAACUUUUUAUGUGUUAGUCAAAUGGAGAUGGUUUCAAAAGAAAAAAUGUUAUUAAGAACAAUAUGAACAACUUUCAUGUUCAUAAAAAUUUGAUUUGAAGCUUGGAAGGCCAUCUCCCAUUCCAAUACAUUAUUGGUCAUUUUGACAGAAACCCUAAUUUUGGGUCAACUUCCCAAGGACAUAACUCAUUCACUUUUUAUGGUUUUGAGGUGGGAUUUAAUGAAUUGGAAAGAUUAAGAUGUCUAAUUAAAAUGUUAUGUUUAACAAAAUUUCAAAAUCUCAAAGGAAAUACAUUUGAUAAUGCAAGACAUUAUAGGUCCUUUGUGACCAAAAGCAUUAAAAGGCAAAAAAGUCCAACUUCAAGUGCCCAUAACUCUUUCAAAAAAAAUCCAAAUGAUGCAAAAUUGAAGUCCAUUUUGAUUGUCUUGAAGAGAUCUACAAAUUUUACGCUGGAGACGUUUUCAUUUGAGGCUUGCACCAUCAAAACAGAAGGGCUUGAAAAUUGGCCAAAUUUAGAAACCUUGCCUUCACAUGUCAUGCACCUUGCACUUUAAACUCAAAUUUCAUAAAUUUCCACACUUCAAAUGGAUUUUUUCCCAACAUAACAAUUGUUCCUUACAUCAAAACCUUUCCAAACAUUACUCACAUCAUCAUGUUUGGAUUUGGCAAUUGGUAUUUUCUAAGAGGUGAACAUUUAGGCAUAAUUAUGGAAUUCACAUCAUAACCUCAUGCACAAGCCAAUGCAACUCUAAUUACACGUCCAAAUCAUUGGCAUCUGAGUUCAGCUUGCAUUUCCAUCCAUUUUUGGGCUUUGCACGCGCCUGCACAGGCCCAUGCAUGAGAAGUCCAAAUUCCAUGCACAUGAGAAUUCACCUUGCUUGCAGUUUUUUUUGCUAUAAAUAGAAGUGCUCAGCUUCAUUCAAACUCAACCUAAAGGCGCCUGAAACCCUGCUGAAGUGAUUCCCCAACCUCACCAAAGAAGCUAUUUCCAUUUUUCUUCAAAUUUUUCAGAUCCAAAAUUCAACUACAUCUGGUUGAAUCUUUGGAUCCAAAGCUUUUAGACCUUCAUCAUUUAGUUCAUUGAUCUUCUGUUUUGGCAAAGAAAGCAAGGAAUCGAGCUCAAGUUUCCAAAAUUCAAGCUUACUCUUCAACUGGUAUUUUCUUCGAAUCUCAUCAUCCAUUGACCUAUUUGCUUGGAUCUUGUGUUGGCUGAAGUCCUCUCAAUAGAGGCAUCAUGAUUGUGCAUUUAAUUUUUGAAAUCCAUUGAGUUCAUGAUGAACACCAGAUUUUUCAACCUCUGAUAUCUCAUACCAUGGACGGUACAGGGAUGAUGUACAUCAUCCCAACUUUCCAAUGAUGUAUAGAUCGUGUGAUUUGGUUAAGCUUUGGUUGUCUGCUAUGGUGGCCGGAAAAUGCAAGCUCACCGGAGAAGAAGGUGGCUCCGGUGGCUGCUUUAUUGCCAGAUCCAAUCUGGACCGUGUGAUUGCAUUUCCAGAUCUAAUCCAUGCCAUUCAUUGUUAUGACUUUUUUUAAUACAUUGUGCUUCGCCUUUGACUCAAGCCUAUGAUACGUGCGCGCCUGUGAGCCAUCUGAUGUGCCACAUCAUUUAAUUUAAUGAAACUUGAUCCAACGUGCCAGGCUUUUUUCAUUUUCUGAUUUAUUUCAUUUUAUUUUGUUUAUUUCAUUUUAUUUCAAAAAAUCAUAACUCUUUCAUUUUUAAUCCAAACAAUAUGGGACCAAUUGCAUUAGUCUCCAAAUAAAUUCUAGUUUCUAUUUCUGAUUUUUAAUAUUUUUUAUUUUGUCAUUUGAUAUUUUUUGUGAAUUUUCUCUUUUCUGGUUAUUUUUAAUUGAUUUUAAAUAGUUUUUGAUAUUCAAAAAAUACAAAAAUAUUUUCCUAACCGAUUAGAAUGAUGAUGGAUCUAUGAAAAAUAUUCUCAUCAAUUUUUAAAUUGAUUUGAGAUUUAUUUGAGAUUUUAGUUCAAUUAGGUUAUUUUUAUUCAUUUUUAAUUGAUUAAAAAUAGUUUCUGACUUUUAAAAAUGCUGAAAUUUUUUGUCAAACUUUGUUUGACCUUGUUGAACUUGGGAUAAAUUACUUGGACCUUUCAAGGUUGAUUUGAAGUGAUUUUGAAGUUUGACCUUUCCAUUGUUUUUAAUUCAAGUUUAUUUUAAUAUUUGAAAAUGCCAAAAAUAUGUUGCCCAUUAUUUGAUCUCCAAUCUUCAUCUCAUUUCUGAUUUCUUAUUGUUUUACUUUGACUUUCAAUGUCAUUUGGUCAAUACAUAUGGAUUGGUACAUCUUAUUUCAUUUAAUGCAUUUUGAUCUUUCCAUUUCCUUAUCCUUUUUUCAUCCAUUCUCCAUCUCCUUCUUCUUCUUCAUCUUUCUUUUUUGAUCAAUGAGUUGAAGGUUGAUAAGUUAGUAUUGAUUAGGGAGACUUAAUCUUCCUUGAUUCAAAUCUAAUUCAUCUUGAUCAAUUGAUCAAGUGAAUGGAUUUGCAUUAAGGAUAGGUUGUUUCCUAAAUCAUGCAAAAGGCUUAAACCAAUACAAAUUCAUCUUGAUCAAUUGAUCAAGUGAAUGGAUUUGCAUUAAGGAUAGGUUGUUUCCUAAAUCAUGCAAAAGGCUUAAACCAAUACAAGAUCAUUUCUCUUUUCUCUUUUUGGCAUGGCAAGUUGUUGCAACUUGGUUCACUAAUCAAGACUUCUAACUUGUGUUGUUGCCUACAUUAUUAUUGACCGGCGCCAGAUAGUUGUGACUUCUACAUAAGUCCAAUUACAAUUGCUUAACAUAGCGCUAAAUUUGCCUUAUGGCACACUAACUACUAACAAUAACCAUUAACAUAUAACAUUUACCUUUUUCUCUUUACUUUUAUGCAAUUUACUAUUCUUGCACAUAUUAUCCAUUUUCUUUUUUUCUCUUUGCUCACUUGAGCCCAUGUUUAUGUUAAUGCCAUUUGCCAUUUGCCUUUUUCUCACUUGAGCACAUAAUUGUGGAUAUACUCUUGUGCUUGUGUUUUUGUUUUGAUUGUUGUGGACCAAAUGCAAAGAAAUGGACUUAGUUUCUAGGACUUUCCCUAUGCAAAGAAUGGAGAAAUGGACUUAGAUUCUAGGACAUUCCCUAUGCAAAAUUGUAGUAAAAGGACCUUAAUGAUGAAUAUGGACCAAAUCUCUAAACUCACUCUUGUCCAUUCUUAAUUUACUUCAUGGAACUUUUGAUGUGUGUGUUCUUGUGCUAGGGGUUCCCACUUGAGCUUAAUUGGAGGACCAUUGCCA